UUUUUUUUUUUUUUUUGAAAAAAAGUACGGGAAAUUUGAAACUUUGAAAAAACCUAGUAACACCUACUAAAGGUGAAAAAGGCUCCCCACUUUGAGAGAGAAAAAAACCCACCUACAAGAGGGACAAGUUAAUUUUUGGUAUUUGAGAUUGAGAAAUUUCAACUUCCUCCCUUGCAAUGUGUUGAGCAAUUUGGUUGAUGGAAUAUUUAUAAUUAGGCUAUAAUUUGUGAAAUGAAGUCUCCGCAAGUGAGAGAGAGAGAGCAUUUAUUGCUUCGCCAAUUUCAAAAGACCAGGCAAAAAGCUAUGGGAUUUCAAACUUUGCUCAAAAAUGCAGAAGUCAACUAUUUGGAAUUUCAUCAAAUUUUGUAGUAUAUUUUGAAUGAAUUUCUUGAUAAUGUAAAUAUUGUAAUUUAAGAUCAUUUAGGAAGAAUGUUUCUAAUGGUCCAAAAUAUCUAAACUAAUUGAAAAUCCAAGUUGGCAUUUCAGAAGGAUUUGGAAAAAAAAAAUUUCUUGGAGGUGAAUCCACCAAAUAUGUUUUCUAGAUUUGUUAUUGUAAAAGAAAACAUUAGAAAAUGCAUCUGCCAUACCAUAAUAAUUAAAUAAUACUCUUAACCAUCAAAAUUGGAAAGCAACUUUAUGGAUUUGAAAAGGAGAUAUUGCCCACUGAUUUAUUGUUGGAACAUAUUGAAUAAAGAGUGAGGAAAUAGUAAUUUCAUGAUCAUUAAUGGUAGGAUGCCAGGGUGGAUCAUUUUUUGAUUUAAGAGUGGAUUUUACAACUUUGGGCUUAUCAAUUAAGUAAGUAAAUGAUGUUGGCUCAAAGGAGUGAAAGAAACCAGGAUAGGUAUGCAGUGGUUUGACCGGUUAAGCUCCUUUUGAGUCAAAAUUGGGAUUGAUCUGAAUAGGUGAUAGAUUUGUCUACAAUAAUAAGAGGAUUUUUUAUUUUUAGGUCUUCAGGUUGGUUGAAGUAGACAUGAGAUUGGAUUUCGGAAUAAAUAUAUGAAUUGUCAGAUUCUCUGGAAACAAUGAAAGAAUAAUCAUCUUGAUUUAAGGAUCAAUUGACUUACUGAUUUAAACUGUCAAAUGAUCUAUUUUUAGAUCUGUAAUGGAGAAUUUGAAAAAUGGUGAGUAAUACUUUGGCUAAUUUGAUCCUAAGCCAGCGGAGGAUAUCUCAAAGAAGGAUGAUACAUAUUUAAGUGGGUUCUUUUUUUUUUUUUUUUUUUUGUCAAAAGUGUGGGUUCUAUUUGAUAUCCCACUUCUUUGACUGGCAUGGCCUCUGCCGCGGCCUCAUGCGGGAUAAGACAUUUCGGUAAAAUUGAGAAAAGGACAAGUAGAAAAAGGGCAAGAAAGAAGGAAAAAAGAAAUAAAAAUAAAUAACAUGGAAGGAGUGCUUUUUCUAAUCAAGCACGCAGACAAAAUGUCUAUUUAUUGAGUUAAUGGGCCAAAGUGCAACUAGGGUUAACAUUAACAUUCGGGGGGUUAAGUGCAUUUAACAGUUUAAUUUUUACCUAACAAGAUUUACAUAUUAAUACAUUCUUAAUUAUGUCUCAUCAUGGAAACUUUUUUUUAUAGAAAAGAAUAUUUCAAUCAAUAAAUCUGCACUAAUGGUAGAAAAUACAUUAAACAAAUAUGACACACACACACACACACACACAUAUAUAUAUAUAUAUGUAGAUCUAAAAUCAAUAGAUACAAUAGUUCUAAGAAAUCAAUACACGUAAAGAAAUAUUGAUGCUCCUACAUAUCUCCCAUCCGGAUGAAUCAUUGUAAUAUAAUACAUUUGUGCAUCUCUUUUGAUAGUCAUAUCUGAUUAAAACUGGGUCAAGUCCAAAGAAAAAUUUAUAUUUGACAAUAAUCGAGAAAUUGCAAAUAUGAGAAACUAGAUUCUAGAUAUACACAAUCUCAAAUUUCCUACAAAAAAAGAUUAAAAAAAAACUCUGACAAGAAAAAUUAAGGAGAGAAUAAAACUUUUACUAAAACAAUCUAAAAGAGAAGAAACUCUCACUGAAAAAUUCUAAGAGAGAAGAGUCUUUCACUACAAAAUUUUAGAAAAUAAUUUAUUCGAAAUAGUGAAACAAAAAGUAGACAGAAUGCUCCCUCCCAUGGGAAAAAACCAGAUUUGAUCUCUCUCCCAUAGGAGAGAUGAAGGAGAUUUUGAGAAAAAGAGUUCUAGAGAGAAGUGUCUCAUCUUGGAAACUUGAGAAACGGUUUUUUGCCAAAUUAAACUACUAAACCUUUUUUCAUUUAAACUACUAAACCUUUUUUCAUUAAUUUCUGUAGUUUUCUUUCCAUAUUGUGUUCUUCUUUAACCAGACAUAUAUAGAAAUCUAGUUCCAAAGGAAAAUUGGUUUUUUUCCUCCUAGUUAUUUACGCACAUUUUUUGUCCAAGGCAUUUGCAGCAUUUGUCAAGGUACCUGCUUUUAACGAGUAUUUUAUAUCUAAUUUAUUUGGUACUUCAAACAAUGAUAUUCAGAUGUUUCUUUCCCUUUUAGACCAACUAUUUUGACUUGUGGAUUUUUGUGCUCUGGGAAAAAAGAUUUUCGCUUACUUUUUUUUUAAUUGCAAAAGAAAAAAUUUAUUUCCCUAUAAAUUCCAAAAAUACUUAUUUAUUCACAUACGAUCAAGUAUGUAUACAAGUAUAUUAAUAGUACUUACUAAAUAAGGUACUCAGUUUUAAUCAUUAAUAAUACAUUUUAGUGUUAUUUCAAAUAACACAAAAAAAUACGGGCUUGGUAUAAGUUAUUUUUAGCAUAAUAGAAUAUUUUUGCCAUAAAUUAGCAUGUUUUUGUCAUUAAUCAAAUUUAAUAUGUUAUAAGUAAAAAUCACUACUUAUGUAUAAAAACAUACUUUUACUUAAAAUAAACUUACUCCCUCAAAAGUAUAUUUGAGAUAUAAAAUUGUAAUUUAUCUCUUUAAAAAGUAUGUUUCAUAUUACUUUCAAUUUACCUUUGCAACAGCAAAAGUUACUAAUUUAUUACGUUAACUUACUAUUUUAGAUGAGAAACUUACUUCCUUAUUUUUACCCAUAAUCCUAUUCAAGCGGAUAGGUCCAACGGGUAAUCAAAUAGUCCCUAAAAUUUUUAUAACCUAUUACAUCAUGUCUAAAACUGUUUUGUUUACCAUAACGAUAGUUAUGGCGCCAUUUUCCCGAAUGCUUAAGCUGAACACCUGGGUACUAAAUUUAUAUAUGUAUAUAAAUAUAAUGAAGCCUUCAAUCCCUUUGUGUUUCGCAUUGCCACGGAACUACUACGUUUACCUCUACUCCACUUUUCCUUUUUUCUUCCAAGUUAUUAUCCCCCACACGUGUGAGAUUUACAUUUAUUAUUUGUUAAAACUUCGGUACCUUCUUUAUGCACAUUUUUUUGUCGCAGGCAUUUGCAGCAUUUUUCCAUUGCUAACGGGUAGAUUUGCAAAUGCAUAAAUGCCAAUUACCCUUCCCUGGCCCAAUCUACUACAUUGGAAAACGGAAGUUCGAACGUGUGCUUUUUUGCUUGUAGCCGCAGACAAAAAAUUAAUGUUUGCUCUCCACGCGAUCUUCCACAGCUUAACGUCUCCGUUUGCACUCCAUUCAACUCCAACACGUGUCGAUUUUUGUAGGCCUUCCUACCAUAGACACGGUCAAAGCGUUCCUACCAUAAAGGUUUCCGUUGGCAAGCCCUAUGGAAGGGGUCAAGAUAUCACAUUUAUCUCAUUAAUUUUGUUAAUAGUAUUAGUGAUUGGGGCAUACAAGUCAAUGAUACUGUGCUAAAAGUGAUAAAAAAAUAAAAGUCAAGAGAUUACAGUUAAAACAAAAUGAUAUAUUGUCAUUAAUCUACACUGUCCUUUAUCUCAUUAAUUUUGCUAAUAUUGUUAUUAAUUGGGCUUAAAUAAAAUAAACUUGAGAGUUUAAGUCGCAAAGUAUCUAAAAUUGUGAAUUUAGAACGUAAAGGGUUGAAAAUUAAAAUUUAGGGCAUAAAGUAAAGAAAUGGCAAUAGUCCUUACACAAGCUUCGCGCCUAAUCCACUCCCCCAAUUUCAGCUUGGAUUUCAUCAACACCUAGUGAUCCAAGUAAAAGAUAAAUCCUAAAUGCAUGAAAAUGAACAUUUUAAUAGAAACUUACAUUUCCCAGCCUUAAAAGUUCACCUUCUUCAGGAGCAUGUGCAACUGAUAGCGUCUUGGUGGAGAUUAUAGAUGCCUUCUCAUUGAUUGUUAGCAUAUCAACAACUUAAUAUGUAGGAAUGAAUCCACUCAAAUAACUAAGAAACGAAGCCAAUCUCAGACAAGAUAAAUAUUGGCAGUUGAAAUCAUACUAACAAAGCGACGUAGCACAAACUUGAAAGAAACAGCACAAGGCUUUGGGAGGCAACAAUCAAAAUUUUUUUUUUUUUAAUUUCAUAGAGCUUUUAAUCUCAUACAUCUGAUGUAGUCCUACACAUAUUUAUUUCGAUUAGGGUUCUCUGCUGUCACAAUGUUGAUAGCAGAGUGCUUUUCAUGGCAGAGAUGAUGUAUUUUCAAAUUGGGUGGUGGAGAUUAAAUGGGGGCUCCAAUUUUGACCUGUUAAAAAAUUUUAUUGUAUAUUUUCAUCAUGUUAUGUUAGUAAUUUUUUUUUGUUUCCGAAGAAACAGAAGUAAAUUUCAUUUAAGAUAAAUCCGCAAGUGCGGCUACAGGUACUUCAUCAGGGAAGUUUACAAACCAGACGUUACAGCCUUCCAGAGAUAAUGACAAUUUAGAUAUUAUAUGGGCAGGUACAUUGUUAAGUCUCCUCACAUGAGAAACUUUUACAGAAGCAAAUUCAUCUAACAUUGAUCUAAUACCGUGAAUGAUGUUACCAAUUAAGGACAUGCCAGUUUCCUUCUUGUGUUUGUAUAUAUAAUUGUUUUAUUAGUAUCCACAUUCCGUAAGUUAGUGUUUGCACUGCAUUCUUCUGUUAUCACCAAUGUUUUUAAACUCGGACCGGUCAGCGAACCGGAGAAAGGACCGGUUCACGGUUCGACCGGUCCGACCGGUCUGACCGGCCGGUUCACCGGUUCACUGCUUUUUAAAAUAAAUAAAUAAAUAAAACGCAUGCACCUUCAGUUAUUAAGGUUUGUACGUGAACUGGAAUUGAUGUUAUCAUUCGCUGGCCGGUCAUUUCCAUGAGGGGCCUUGUAUUGUACAAGCCUUACAACUUAAGUUCCCAAAAUGCAAUCACCUUUUAACUUGAAGUCUAAAAAGUAAAAACAUGGGCAACCCAACACAAUAUUCUGACUUAACCAUGUGCAAAUGCUCCAACAAACGAAGCUCAAAGAACCACUUAUAUAAUGGAAAAAUCUAAGUGAUACUUCUUGCCAGAAGGAAAAUUUUAAUGAACAAUAAUGCAAAAAUGACAAGGGCAAGACUCAAAUAUAGUGACAAUAUAUAUCACUUGACUAUAGCAUUAAAAUCACUUCACGAGGUUCUUUCAAGCCAAAAACCAAACAGAUGGCGUACAUUAUCAAAUUGCAUAUUUAACAACCCCAAAAUGCUAGAAAAACAUAAAUAUAAGCCACAAAUUCGAACCUGUAUUUUAGUAUAUCUGUAAAUAUUUCAGUAUUUCAAGCUUAUAUUUCCUAUUAUCUUUAUCUAUAAACACAAAUAGACAAAAAGGACGAAUUCAUGUAAAAAUAAAAUAAAAUAAAAUAAAAAAGAGAAACCAAAUUACUAGAUUAGUGCUUCUUUGGAUUUCCCUCAAAAUUUACCUGUGAAUCGCAACUCAGCAACUGAGCCGAAGAAAUCAUGCAAAAAUAGUUGAAGAUGGUUAUUGCCGCCGACACCAAUAUGUUAAAAGGAAAAGAGGAUAAAGGAAACAGAACAGAGGAGAAGCCGCGGCCGAGGAAAUGAAGUGAAACAAAGAAAUGAGUCUGACGUAUCAUAGGGUAUUUUUAAUCUUUCACUUAAUAAGUUAACUAGUUAAAUAGAUCUCUUUAGAACAUAUGUUUGUCCGCUGUCUGUGGUUCAACGGUAAGGAAUGCUUGUUGCAAGCCCAAGGUCUAGUGUUCCAUUCCUAGUGACUGCAAUCUUAACACUAUUUUUACAAUGUUUAAAAAACCGCCGGUUCACGGUUCAAGCGGUUUUUUCCGGUUCGUCCGGAUCAUCCAGUUUUUGACGGUUUUCAUUAAUUUCCGGCUUUAUCUUUAGACCGGACCGAUGAUCUGGCCGGUUCGCGGUCCAAUCGGUUGAACCGGCCAGUCCGGUCCGAUUUUGAAAACAUUGGUUAUCACUAGCUGUAAUAGCAGGAUACUGAUCCUAUUUAUUGAUAGCCUAAGUUAGUCAAAAGUCAAAAUCGACUAAUUAGUCUAGAUCACUUUAGUCACAAGCUAAACUAUACAAUUGUUUGGCCAGCGGAUUAUUUGUAUAAAUUUAUUUAUUUAUAUCAUAAACAUAUAUUUUUAAUUAUUUUUUAAUCUUAUAUACAUCAGAUAAAAAAAAAGUACGAUAGUAUUUCUUUUUUAAAAAAUUAUUCGAAAUAAUCUUAUAUUAACUGAUUCACAAACUCAUCAAUCAAAUAUACAUGAAUUAUAUGCUAGCUAAGCUUUAGACCAAGUAUGAAGGCUAAUUACUUAGAUUAUUGCUGAGGAAAAGAAAGUUCGGUCAUCUGCGGCUCUGACAGCGGGCUAUUGCAUACUUAUGGGUGCCGGAGCGUGUCAGCCCGGCACCCAAAAGCAAAGUCAAAUUUUUUUUGGUCUGACAUGACAUAGCCCGGCAGCAGAAAUUUUUUUUUUUUUUUUAAGUUGUCAGCUACCUGGCUAACAAGGCCCGGUAGCCGACAUCCUCUGAUCCACAAAGCUGGCUGCCGGGCAGACACUGUCCGGCAGCCAGUGCAAUUUAUAAAAAAAAAAAUUCCUGAAGCGCUAAAGAAGUAUGCAUUUCUGAAAUGAACCAUCCGCGGAAUUAAAGGGGAGGUAAGAAUUAAACAUAGUAGGCUACAUUUCUAUGGUGGAAGGUUCAGUUUUCUGCGCACAAUAAAUAGAAGCAAUGCAAAUGUGGAGACACACAAAGAAGUAUAUUGGGCACUCAAAAAAGCGAGUUAUGCAUGGAUGCAAAAUAUUAUAUAUUUUAAAAUUAUAAUAAAAGCCCUCUUAAAAAUUUAUUCAUUAACUAAUGUUCAAUACUUAUAUUUGGUAAAUUAAAAUAGUUAAUUAAAUAUUCUAUUAUAAUAUAAGUAACUAUAUAUCAUUAAAUCGAAUGAAUAAUAUGUAAGCAGUUUUUUUUUUUUUUGCCAUUUCAAGUAGUUGUCUAUUAAGUUUCAAUUAAAAUAAAGAUUUUAUAAUUAUUUGAAAUUAUGCAAUAAAAAAAUCAAUGUAAGAUGAACAUAAAUAUAAAUACCCCAAAUUGUAUGAUUGAAAUAUUUGAUUUAAUAUGCAGGAAAGACAAGAAGAAAUGGCAAGAAGUUUUUUAAAAAUUAAUGUGAGUUCUUUAUAUUGGUAAUCACCUUUAUUUGUUAUUUUAAUCAUAAUACCUGAUUAUAACCGAUUAAAACUCAUCCUAAUACUAUUUACAACUAAAGUUACUAUAUACUCAAAUUAAAAUUUUCUUUUUCACUAAAUUUUCUUUUGUAUAUGAUGCAUGUUUUAUCAUUUGUUAAUAAUUAAUAUAACAAAAAGAUGUUAUUAGGCUAAAUGUCUCGACAAUGUGGAUUACUUUUAAAGAUUUUAAUGAGAAUUAGACAACACUUUUUAUGUAUUAAAUUUAAUUCACAUUCUAUUUCAUUUGAAAUAUAAUUAUGUAAAACAUACGGGACCAAAAAAAUACGAAGAUAAACCUGUGACUAAUUCUAACUUGAUUUGAGCGUUAUGUAUUAUAGUUUUGUAUUAGUUGUCCUAAAUUUGGCUAAAAUAAAAAAUUUGCUAUUAUGCUUAAUUCUUACCUCCCCUUUAAUUCCGUGGAUGGUUCAUUUCAGAAAUGCAUACUUCUUUAGCGCUUCAGGAAUUUUUUUUUUAUUUUUAUAAAUUGCACUGGCUGCCGGGCAGUGUCAGCCCGGCAGCCAGCUUUGUGGAUUAGAGGGUGUCGGCUACCGGGCCUUGUCAGCCUGGUAGCCGACAACUUAAAAAAAAAAAAAAUUCUGCUGCCGAGCUGUGUCAUGUCAGACCAAAAAAAAUUUGGCUUUGCUUUUGGGUGCCGGGCCGUGUCAGCCCGGCACCCAUAAGUAUGCAAUAGCCCACUGUCAGAGCCUCAGAUGACCGAACUUUCUUUUCCUCAGCAAUAAUCUAAGUAAUUAGCCAAGUAUGAACGACACUUAGUUAAGUAAUUAAUAAUGAUAACUUGGUUUACUAUUUCUACAUUUUGUAGAGCUCUUUAAUAUAAUAUUAAAAAAUUAUUCCCUGUUUAUUGAUUAAAGGGAUAAUUUCAGAAACCUCAGGGAGGUGGCAGCCUCACUCACCUCCCCUGAACUUUGCAAAAUAUUAUAUACCUCCCUUGUCAGGUUAUUGGGUCCUAUUUGUGAUAUCAUUGAUGAUGAAUUGACAGAUAUACCCUCAUAACUUAUGAUAUAUUUUGAAGCUAUUUUGACAGAAUUAGUUAAAUGAGUAAUGUAGAUAUAACUUUUGAUAUAACUUAUGAUAUACCUCCUACUCCACUUAACACUUUUUAUCCGUAGUACAAUCACCAAUGGGGAGUUUAGCACUAGUGUUACCUUUCUCUAGAGCCAUGUAUUUCAUGUUUUUUUUUUGUAAGAUAAUUAUCUAGUGUAACUCAUUACUUAUAUUUGGGUAGAUUUGGUUUUCAAAAAUUCAAUGACGUAAAUUGUAUAUUACAUCAUCUCAUAAAGUGAUGCGACACAAUUUGGGCUAUUGGAUUUUUUGAAAAUCGGAUCUACCUAAGUUCUGGCAUUUAAACGAAGCUUGUUGAAUAAAUUCGACUAACUCCAGUGUGAAUUAAAAUUUUUUUAAAAAAAUAAUCUCAACUAAAGUAUCUAGCACUAAAUGAAAUGAAGUAUCUUGCCACUUCAUUUCAUUUUCCACAGAGAAAAUUGUAAAAAGAGUUAUUGAACUAUUCAAAAUUUGGUGAUUCGAUCGUUAAAAUAUUUAUGUAACUGCAAUGGCCAUUCACUCAAUUAACCAAAUAGUGCAAAUUUUUUUGUGACUUAACUAAUAAAAAUUUAUACUUUUAAUCACUCAAAUAAUAAUUUUUUUGUGACUUAACUAAUAAAAAUUUAUACUUUUAAUCACUUAAAUAAUGAAACUAUACAUUUUUUUUAAUAUCACGAGAAGUAUGUUUCAAUUAAUUGAAUGAUCAUAUUAGCUAAAUAAAUGUCUAGCAGCUAAAACAGAAAAAUAUAAAUAGCAUAGUAACAUUGCUUGAAGAAGCCAUCUGCAUUUGUCUUUGCCUGGUUCUAGGGCUGCAAACGAGUCGAGUCGAGUCGAGAUUUGACCUAAUCGAGCCGAGUUUUGACUUAAUUUCAUUAAAAUCGAACUCGAGCUCGAGCUCGACGAGCUGACAAUUUCAAACUCAAGCUCGAGCUCGACUUGAUUCGAGCCGAGCUCGAGCUCGAAAAAAAUAAAAAAUAAUUAUUUUUAUAUUUAAAAAAAUAAAUAAAACAAUAUUUGUUUCUUAAUAAAUAAUAAAAUAUUAAGGAUGUAUAUGUAAUUUUACUAUUAAAAUUAAAAAAUAUAAAAUAUAUAUAUACUUAAAAUAAAAAAAUAAAAAAAAAUAGAUAUAUACUUAAAAUAAAAAAAUAUAUAUAUAUACUCGAGCUUGCGAGCCAACUCGCGAGCUAACGAGCUUUAUAUUUUGAGCUCGAGUUCGAGUUCGAUUUCGACUCAAUCCAGUUUGAACUCGGCUCGAGCCGCUCACUAGCAGCUCGAUUCGUUUACAGCCCUACCUGGUUCAACUUAUUACUUCUUUUUUGGCUUUUGCUUUAGCUCAGCAACUACCCAACAAAAUGCAUUGUCAUCUAUGCAGCUUCAUUUUGCUGUUAUAUAGACAAGCAGGAAGACUACUAUUUGCUCUUUAUCGUUGGUUUAGCUGUGCACAAAGAGCUAUUGGCUUCUACCUUCCAAAAUGCAAUAGGCACCUUGCCUUUUCCAUCAAUUUCAGAUACACUCCCUAAAAUUUCAUUGUUGUUAGAUAGUUUGUGCUGUUCAACAAAAAUUAAGUCACUAAUGAUAAUCUUGAGAGUAGAUGUGGGAUGAAGUGUUUUUCUCUCUCCAGAUACAUAUUUAAAAUUGUUUGUGCAUUUGAAUUGUGUGAGAUUUGAUAUACUCUACUUAAUUUUAGGAGAGAUAGCUGAUAUUUUGCAAAGCUCGAGGGAGGUGAGUGAGACUGUCAGAAACCUCAGAAGAGGUUUCUGAAAUUAUCCCUUGAUUGUUAAACUUACAAGUGCAUCCUUUUCUUUUUUUUCCCAUAAACAAAAGCUCAGGUCGAACAAUUAAAACUAAAAGUAGAGAGACUAAAUUGGUUUCAGCGAAAAACUAUGAGGACUAAUUGGGCUAUUUCCCUUAUCAUUUUUUUUUUUGAGGGAAUUCCUUAUCAAAUUUCAGUUGAGGCGUGUAAACUGACAAAAUCCUAAUUUCAGGGCCUUCUCUUAUCUUCAGCCAAAAAUAAAACAGAUGGCAAAGUCCAAAAUUGCUUCCAUUAGCAGCCGCUUGCUCCCCAGUUCCCAUAUGAUCCUUAAUUGAUCUCCAAACCAAUAAACUAUUAUGGUUUCUGUACCACAACCACCAUGUUUUCCUCCACUCAAAUCGAUCCGUAUUAGUGCCUCUCCUGCUCAAAAUUUGCAAUACAAAAGCAUAAUUUUAGCAUUACCAUCCAAGAACCUUAAAGUUUCAUCCUCUAUAGGUCCUUCCAAUGCAGAACCAUUGUCACCAAAUUCAUCAGAAAAGCCCUUAGAAACUGACCAGUCUGAGGGUGAGACUGACCCUGUGAAACUUGCAUUUGCUAAGGCUAAGGCAUAUAAGAAAGCAAAACAAUCUAACCCUACUCCAGAAAUUGUUCAGAGUCCUAUUCAAGAAUCUGCUGGAAGAAGUGAAAAGAGUGAGGAAUUGAAGCUCGAACUGCCAAAGUUGGAAGCUUUGAAGCCAGAAGAUAAGGGCAAUGGGAAGGAGGAGGUUCCAUUGCCUCUUAAAUUGGCAUUUGAGAAAGCAAAAGAGUAUCGGAAGAAUAGAAGUGCUGUGGAGGAAAGUCGAGUUGUGAAGGGGAGUGAGCAAAAUUCAGGUAUGGUUACUGGGAUUUUUGUGUUUGUUUGUUGAGCUGUUGUGAAUUCGUGUUUCAGAUAAUUCUUCAGUGGUUCUCUAAUAUGUAGUUUUAUGAAUUUUCUCUUUUAUUACAUAUGUUUAUCAUGUGAUUAUCAUUAUAUUAAACUUGUUUCUUGAUGAAAAUAGCAUGUUAGUACUUAUGCAGUAUUUCUAUUAAAGCAUUGUAAUUGUUUGUAAAUAUGUGGAUUUGUGUCUUGAUCAGGAAAAUACCCAAUUUGUCGAUUAAUUUUAAGAUAAAAGAACUUUUUUUUCCCUAAUUUGAGUGUUGUAUGUUAUUGUGAAUACCUCCAGGCGUCUUUUUGCUUGGAACUUGUAGUAAAACAGUUUGAAGUGGUUCUGGACUAAGAAGUUUUCGUUUGAAUUGGACCUUAGGAAUUAAGAUAGGAAAUGAGGGAAGUCUUGGUGGUUCAGUAUUGAGAAAGGAUGAUGAUAAGAAGGAAGAGUUGAAGAUUUCGAGUAUUGAUUUUGUGGGGCUUGACUUCUCGGAGAAGAAGAGCACCAGGGCUUUGCCAGCUGGGCUGGUUCCAGCUGUGGACGCAUUUCCUGAGGAGGACUUGCCUGAGGUGGAGAUACUUAUUGGAGAUGCUAGCAAGUUUGAAGCUGGAGCAGCAGCACCACAGCCAAUUCAGGAAGAGGAUGUGGAUGUUUAUAAACCCAAGGUAUCCACUUGGGGAGUUUUUCCUAGACCGAGCAAUAUCUCAAAAACUGUAAGCUCCCUGACCUAUUUGAUUAUCUAUUAGAAUGCUCAUUAUGAUUAAAUCCUCAUAAAAAGUAGAUUCUUGAGAUAAGACCAAGUUCUGAAUAUGAAUUUGGUGCAAUUUCUGAACAUAGUUUAGGAAAACUAAUGUCAAGGCAUGUUCUAACAUAAACUGAAUAAUUAACCCCCCCCCCCUUUUCCCAGGCCUCCAGGACUUUAGUGUAUACUUAAAAAAAGAAUGAGAUGUAUGUUUUCAAGCAGAGUGAUGGACCGUACUUUUGUAUCUAUCCAUAGUCAUUGAAUAAAAGCUCGGCUUUUUUGCUUUCUUUACUGAUUAAUAUUACCACAGGUCAAAAUGGAAAACCAUCAAGCAUCUGACUCCCUGGCUGCUCUUGCUGUGAAUGAUAGUUACUACAUCUUUUCCGCAAUAAAAAACAAAAGUUAACAUGCAUUAUAUUGGGUUUCUUGAUUUCUAAUUUUUCCUAAUUAUUACCCCAAGCUAUACACAAGGACAUGAGAAAUUUUGGAAAAAGCAUCAUAAUUGUCCUUGUCAUUUUGAAGUUCGCUGUUGUCCAAUGUUACUAUGGUAAUUUUUAUCUUGAUCCUCUCCCCUUUAUUUUUUUUUGAAACUGUAAGACUUUGCCAAAACAUAUUGUUAAAAAAUAUAUAGAGGUCUGCAAUAUAAUUCUUCUCUAUUGUUUCACUGGUGAAGAAACAUUACCCCAUUUACAAUCCUUUGAGUGGCAUGGUUAGAUGUGCUUGUGAGUUUUUAUAGUUGCCAAUGUUCUUCAUUUUUAAUCCUUUUCCAUGAUGAUUCUUUCUUGCUUAAAAACUAUCUUAACAUAGACUUUAGAUGUUGGUAGUACAUGGUGAUUUUGAUUGGUGAAGUGUCCCUACACUAUUGCUAGGUCUUUUUAGUGACAUGGUACAAAUUUGUAAUAAGAAUGGUAAAAAGGGUUGUUCCUCUAGAAAUUCCAUUCACUUUUAAGUUUUUAAAAAAUAAAUUAUUGGGUUUCCUUGCUUUUGAUGAGUCUCCUGGACUGUUUAAGUCAUUUUACUUGUCUUCUAUAAGGUUUCUGGUUGAUCCCUCGUCCUUCUUAAGCUAAAAGCAUUUUGUGAGACAUUCAAAACUGAGCUUCACUUUGUAUUGAUCAGGUCUCUAGUAGGUACAGUUUUCACUCAUCUAUUAAUACAAUUGAUGUUUCACCACUGCAAUUAUCAAACUAUGAGCUUACAUGAUUGGAUUCUCUCUGGAACUUUGGUUAUGCCUUUACUUACUCACUUGACUUCAGUAUGGUGGUGGAAGAAAUAUACGCCCUGGGGAAGUACUUGAAACAGAUGCUGAUCGAGCUACUAAAGAAGCACGGACAAAACAGCUACUUGCUGCCUAUGAGAGCAAAAUUGGAUUGAGCAUUCAUCCGAAGCUGAAAUCUGAAUGUGAACAGGUAUGUUUCAAGUGCACGGUAUCUUGAUUGACAGAGUUAUGAAAUAAUCUUUUGCUAUUUCCACUUCUAUUAGGCUCUGCAACCUAGGUAUAUUAAGUGUCAAGAUAUUAUUCUACGAGUGAGGUUGGUAAUUUCUUCAGUAAUUUAUAAAAAAUUUUAGCUGCAACUGUUAGUCUCAUAGUGUUUUUGAUGUAUUAGCAAUACUCUUGGAAACUUUUUCUUCCUAUUUGUUGUUGUUUCAAUUACAAUACUGUCAAUAAUCUACCUAGAAUGAUUUGCAAUAAAUAGUUCAUUGUGUGGUGACAGUUUAGCUCCAUGCUUCAUAUUACAUAGUAAACUAGUACAAAAAGGAUAAAGCUCAUACACCUUGUCUGUGUUCCGGUUAGUAUGGUACAAAUUUCCAUGUAUUUUGUGCUGUAUUUGUUUAAGGGCUAUGCCCAUUCACUUGUGUAAUCCCAUUCGCUUGUGUAAUCUUCUCUCUUUUGGUCAAUGAAAGGCACGAAGCUUCCGGAAAAUGGAUGUGCCGAAUACCGAUACUCCUUGUGCAAAUUUACCCCAGUUGGUGCAUUAGAUAAUUGGAAACGAAAAUGGUGUUUGAAACUUGUGAAUAUAUUUCACCUUUUUCUUUCUCUCUUAUUUGGGAAUGUGUGAGAAGGAUACAUUGUGGGAUUUUAGCUGAAAUGAACCUUAUUACCUCCAAGUCUCAGCUUGAUUUUCUUUUCUUUUCUUUUUUUUUUUAUUUAAAUUUUCUCUAAAGUAUUGUAUAUCUCAGAAUGGAAAAGAAAAGCAAAUGAAUUGUUCCUCAGGAUUGAUUUCUGGAGUGAUCAUGCAUUAUACUUCUAUUUUUCUUUUCCUACAUCUUGCUCUAAAUUCCCCAGUCAGAUUUGUGAUUGAGAGCUUUCUUCUUAAUUAUAGUGCUCUCAUACUAGGCACUGAAGGAAGGGGAUUCAUUGAUGGAUCUUGGGAAGCUCAAAGAAGCAUUACCUUUUUAUGAGCAGAUCAUGGGCAAGUUGGCUUUCCAGGUAUCUUUCAUUUGCCAAUAAUAUCUAAAAUAGUAGUAAAACUGCUGAAGGCCUUGGUCUGAAGCUCACCAUGGUCUUUCAAUUACGAUUAUGCAUGCAAAAAGUAUGAAGUGCUAUUUUGCACAGUAUCAUUUUCCUAACUAGCUUUUUUUUUCCUUUUUAUUUUUUCCCUUCUUCUUUUGAUAUGGUUAGAUAGAUCAGUUUUCUUUGGUAAGAAUUUGUUCAGUAACAGCAGUGCAAGUUAUAUGAAUAUAUAUCUUUUAAACCUUUGUCCUUCAGUGUUCUCUUUGUUUCAAAAGAUUUCUCUAGGAUGACUUUCCUUUUUGUUUUUUAACCCCUUACUUGUGUAUAACAAAUUCUAUUUGCAAUUUGAGUUCAAAAUUCUGUUUUGUUAGUUUUUCUGCUUAAUUUUUCUGGUCUGUUUGUAUAGAAGUUGACUUGAGUCAUAUGGUCUGUUUCUAUAGAAGGGCACCAACAAUGAAUAAAGAGAAGGGGGUGCAUUCUAGUUUUAAUAUAAAUAAGACAGAAGAGAUUUAACCUCUUAAAAAACCUUCUUAUCUGAGAUGUACCAACUAAUUAACUUUGUGAUUACAACUGAAAGCCUGUACUGAUAGCAGUAGAGCUCGCUACAAACCAUGAAAAACAACUGUAACUAAUCUAUUCAAGUGAUUUUGCAUGAUAUGAAGAAAGGAAAUGAUUUCGACAUGAGGAAAUUUCGAUGGGAAUUUCACUAAACAGUAUUAGCAUUUAUGAUGAAGUGCUUAAUAGGUUUAUGUUUAUGUUUUCUUUAAGCAUCGCCAUUCAAGUUUGUGGGGCCUGGCUUUUCCAUCUACACAUUUCUGUGAUCUUCUUUAAUUUAUGUGUCCUUUAUGACAUUGGCAUACUCUCUCCUAUCCAUAGCAUGCUAUGGACACUGGGCUAUACCAAGCCUUUUACAAGGAGAUUUGACCCUCUAAUUAUGCUUGCACAUUUCCUCAACAUCAACCUAAUAUAAUCCUAGGUACCAUGGAUACUGUCCUCAGAGUGAGACAUAAUGUGGAAGAAAUUAGCUUUAUGUCAUUGAAGUCUUCCUAGGCCACACCCUCCCCCACCUUCCAAAAAAAAAAAUCAUGAAUUUUGUAGUCUAACCAAGAGCCACAUUGAUUAAAUUAUGUGCUGAUGUAAGAAAGUGAUUUAAUGAGACUUAGAUGGCUUUUUUAGAGCACAAAGGACCAGGUCCAUAGAAGAAUUUCCUUAUGUUACCUUCCUAGUGAUUCAAAACAUAGAAUUUACCCCUUGUCAUUUUGGAGUGCAGUUAAGCAGUUUGAUUUUAUGUUCAUUUUACCUGUCAACACAGAAAAGUCAAACUUCUUUCCAAUAAAACAAUUGAAAUGAUUAUCAUACCCUUUUGUUUCCUUUCCUAUGAAUUUUAAGCUGAACUAUUGGCUCUCUUCUUCUUCCUCCUCAACAAAACCCUAGAUUAACAUUAAGAGUAGCAGCCAUGGUUGCCAGUGCCACCCGUCAUUUCCAGCAGGUGGAAGCAAUAGCCGGCUACUGACUGAUACCUUCACUGUCACUUUUAUCCAUCCCAAACUCAAUUUUCUUUCCCAUAGGAAUGCUGUUUUCGCAUUGUAAACACCAGAAUCCAACCAGAAAAAGCUUAAAAUUGCUGCAAAAUUGACAGCUUCAGAAAUUCAACUCAAUAAUGAACUGCAAAUCCAUUAAUAAUUGUCUAAAAUACUUGGGGAAAAAAAACUAGAAAUAAAUCCAUGGAGAAACGAAUAUGAUAACAACCCAACUGGACGAAUAAUGAUUUGAAGAUCUGAAAGAUAAUUUAAAUAGAUGUAUGCAGUUAGGGCACAUAUUCAACUAAGGCAUCUGAAGACAAUCACUGAUGAUCUCUGGUAGAUUUAGUCUGUUUUUGGGUUUGAAAUUGAUAAUUUACUCGAAAAUCUGGAUUGUGGUUAUAUGAUUUGCUGGAAACGGGGAAAAAAAACACUGAUAAGGGUAUGGCCAGCAGCAGUUUCCUGUCAGUUGACCGCCAAUAGGCAAGAGGGUGUACAGGCUGGUAGCUUAGAGUUUUACAACAUAGAAAAGAGAAGAAACAAGAUAAACAAAACAAAAAAGAAAGAUGAAAAGGAAGAAAGAACAGAGAAACAAAAUACAAAAUGUUUGGAGAAAAAGGCUAGUUUUUUUGUUUUGGCUCCAAAAUUUUGUCAUAACUUAUUUUCUGUCAAAAAAAAGAGCUAUUCUGUUUGGUUUGGUUUAAAACAAAAAUCAUCCAUACUCUUAAAUUAUGACUGUAAUCCUUGAGUCAAAAUUUUAAAACUUUUGGACAAUGACUAAAACAGAAAAUUUACUUUUUUUCACUUUACUUUGAAACCAUAGCGAUGUAAAUUCUAGUUGUUGAAUCCAUAAUUAGGUAAGCUAAAUGAUUGCCAUACCACAGGGGAGGGGGGUUUUGUGUACUUUACGCAUUAUCUGAUGAGCUGUUCAUGUUUGGUUGAAGUCCUAAAGCUGAUUGGGUAAAAUGUAAACAAGAUUGGAAAGUAGUCUUGGAUAUUAUUCACAACACUGUAAAACAGAUUUAGUUAUUAUUAGAUUUAGGUCACUGUUCUAUGAACAUUUAGUGAUGAUUCUUUUGCCCAAAUUUAUUUUCAGACUGAACUUUAUGGAUUAGCAGCUUUGCAGUGGUCUAUUUGCCAAGAUUCACUCAAUAGGUAUAUGUCUAACCAUUAUCAUGUUUUAUAAGCCUUCAUUGGAAUACACUAUCCUGGAGCAUUUGUAUCUUUUUCAAGAACAAUUGUGGAUAUGAUAUACAAUUCAAGAUGGGAUGAAUGCAAUGGUUUUUUUUUUUUUGGUGAACCAUGGAAGUCAGUUGAAAAAUUUUGGCUUGAUGUAUAUGACGUGUGCUUUUCAAAGAUUUAUGACUAAAAUUAUCAGUAAUAUAAAUUGACUCAUGAGUACUGUGAUUGAUAAGUAAAACCCACAUAGAGACGUAGAAGUUUACCUAGUUCUUGGACUCAGGAAAUCAGAAACCUUAUUUUCUAUUAUUUUUUCAAAUUAAAAGCAUCUUAUUUUGUUGUUUCCAGAUAAUUGAACAAAUACAAAGGACAGCCUCUUGCCAGGGUAAUAAGGGCUAAAUGUAGAUGAACAUAAUGUUCAUGGAUUGAUUUGGCUUCAUGAACAUUAGUUUGAGCUCCAAUUUGAAAGAGCAUGAAACAAAAGAGCUAACAUUAGCUUCCUAGGAACUGUUUCUUUGGGUGCCAGCAUUCAUAUCUGUAGAACAAAUGAAGCAUGUGAAAGAAAUCCAGAAGAUGGUUAUAUUUGUUGGAGGAGGUGACGUUGAGAUACAAAUUCACUAGGUAGUGCUUCAUUCGAAAAGAAGGUUAUGUUAAUCGUGGAGUUGUUUAUAACUAGAUCCAGUAAAAGCAUAUGUAGUUAUUCUGGGUAACACUAGUAUAUAGCAUAACUGAUACUUACAUUGCAUGAGAGUCAGCAUGUAACUACUAUCAAGUGAUCUUUGACUCUUUGUUUUUCACCUUGCAGCAAGUUUAUUUGAGGAUUCUUUUUCUGUAUUGUCCCAUACUGCUUAUUAUAUCAUAAAUGUCCUUAUAUACAUAUUACAGCUGAUUUUUGUGUCAGGUAAUAACUCAUCUAUCUUUUAUAGCGCGUGUGGUGAAAUAUCUCUUGCAUCUAGUUUAAGUGUUCCCUGGCAUCAAUUUGUGUUUGUGGGCCCCUUUAACUUGGGUAUUCUGAUGUCAUAGUGUAGAAAUUCAACAGAUUUACUCAUUGCCAGCAAAUUAUAUAUCAUAGAAAGACUUUCUAUCUUUUCAAAUUUUUCGUUCAUAAGAAAGCUUCUCUCUUUUCUUUUCUUUUUUUUUUUCCUUUCAAGGGUAUAGCACUACUUGUUUCUCACUUUCUGUCUACAAAGCUCUUUGCUAUACGUUUGGAUUUGACUGGCUUUACCAUUCUGUCUUUGCCUGCUCUUUAUUUUCUUGGAUCUUAAAUUUUUAGCAUUGAUUUGAUUUGCCCAUUUGAAAUGAUUCGCAGGUCUAAUGAAGCCAGAGGAAUGUAUGAAAAGCUGCAGUCUCACCCAAAUCCACAAGUGAGCAAGAAAGCUAGGCAGAUGAAUUUUGGUUUUCAGGUAAAGGGAAGCAGUUCAUUACUUGAAUAUAGUGUUUACUUUGAACACUUGAAGACUUCUUUUUUUUUUUUUGUUUAUCUGAUCUAGAAACUACAAAUGUGUUUUCACAUCUGUCUUUAGUGUGACCACUUUGAGCCUCAAAGGGAUGCUUUUGUUGACGUACAUCCAACUUAAUGAUUACUUCCUUGCAAUACUCAUGAUAUCUUGUUCUACUCCAACACUGCUAGUUGUAGAUUGUAUUAAUUAGGAAACUUUUUUUUUCUUUUGGAAGCUUCUCCUUAAUGCAAUUUUUUUCUGGAAGGCUUUCAGUUAAUUUUUUUCAUGUGACAUAUGGCAGGCCAUGGUGAUGAUAAAGGUUACAAACUCUACACUUUCUCCUAAAAAUACAGGUUAUCAGAAUUAUUUUGAUGCUUUUAUCAGGGAUAAAACUAAUUAUCCUCUCGAAGAGGCUGAAGUUGAUGAAGCUGUAUUGAGCCAAGCCCUACCAUAUAUGAUCCUUCUUCUUUCUCCUAUUCUGAUUGUGCUACUCAUCGCUGCUCAAAAGGGCCUGCAAAGUUGAACAAAUGUUGUUGCAAGGGAGAAGCUUCUCUUUGAAGGUGUAAAUUUGUCACAGAAGUGUUUCUUUUGGACAAUUUCAUAGUCAACUUUUUCAUCAUAUUAGAUUUGGAAAGUUAGCUCUGCAGUCAUCAAUGCCAAGAAAUUUUUUUUUUUGUCCAGAAAAAGGAAAAAGAGAAUACAGCAAGCCAACAAUUUAUUCAGAGUUAUGAAAUUUUAACUCAAUUGUUCAUUGAAACACAUUUUGUACUCUAUAUCUGGAGACAGUUUUGGAUCAGCUAACACUAAAAAGUAAAAUCUACCAUGCUCACAACUGUGAAGUGGGAAUUCUCCAGUUAUAGUGGAUGGCAUGAUUUAGUCAUUUGGCAGGUUCUUCGGCCUCUGGUCUUUUUCUUCUUUUCGCUUUGCGGCCAGAACAAUUCAACUGGAUUUUCAGUUCUUUCCUAUCUUGAUCCCAUAAGCGGUACCCGUUUAGUCAUUUGAUAGAUCCUUCAGCCUCUUGUCUAAACACAACUAAAUACUCAUCAUUUGUAUCUUUUCCUUUGCUUUAUUCAUUUGAAUGCCUAUGUUAGUUCUGCAAACUGGAGCAGUGUUGACCAACCCAAACCGAUUUCCAGCUUUUAGAGGACCAUUUCAGGGAUAGAUUCUUCAUAACCUGAAAAACUUUAUAGUAGAAAAUGAUAAAAGGAAGAUAUCCAAUGACAAAUUAAUCAAUAAGUCCACCUAGAUUUAAGUUGAAUUGUGGAAAAGCAGUGGCAGACAAAUUGAUCAACUGAUUACUCAUACUUCAGUCCAAACACUAAUGACCAAUACUGACAAAAAGGAGGCAAAAUUGUUUUGUAGGCAAAAUUACUAAUGAUUUAAGUUGGAACUUUUGGAUGCAUUGUUGGCAAGUUACGUUGGGCACUGGAUAUCAUGCAACGAAAAUGACAACAGAUAUUAGACAAAAAAAAAAAAAUCGAAUUGGGGAAUAAUAUAUCAGGAUUUGUUUUAUGACGUAGAAAUGUUUCAGUCCCAGCUAGUUGCUUUUUCCUUUUUGUUUCCCUGUACAGUCCAAAUAAAUUACGUGGUAGUGAGAUCGUUACAAAUGUCUCAAUAAUCAGAUUUAAUGUGCGUUGCAAAGAAUCAUAUGAUUACAAAAUCAGCAUCAGAAUAAAACGAAGAACAAAAAAGUCUACUAAUUUCAGUCACCAUUUGUUUGGCAUUACAAAAACAUGAAAAGGACAAAAAGGCAUCAAGAAAAAGCAGAUUCCAAUUUAAGAAAGGGUUCCUCAUGAAUGAUCAAUAAUAAUUACCAAAGAAUUUAUCAAGGGAAAAUACUAUGCGAUAUGAUAAAUUAUUUAAACUUCAUUUUCUUUAAUUGUAAGAUUUAGUUUAUUUAGUAUUUGCUGACUUUUUUUUUUUUUUUAUAAAACCAUUAUUUCAUAAUCCUUGAUGAUAUGACCAGUGCAUCAGCAUCUCUUGAUAAAUAUACAGUCCAUCUUCUGUGCCAAAUCAACAAUAAUACGCAUUCUUACAUUCUAUGAUAUUAUGGUUCUAAGAGUAAAUAUUAGGAGCAAGUCCCACUAAGAAUAAUUUUAUUUGGCAUGUAUCCAUUCAACUCUUAAAAAUUCAUCCCAAACAUUACAUGAAUACUUCAACUUCCAAAGCAAGGGAUUUGGUGAACUACUGAGAAAUCAGCCCUACUGAUUUGAGGUUCGGUACAGCACUUGCAGAAAUUGCUUAUCUCCAUUCUCUCUGUUGAAUUAGUGUGGUGAGUACCCUAAUUAACUUCAUUUUUUAUUUUUUUUAUAGGCAUAAAUACAAUUUUGUUUCCUAAUAUUUGGCCCAAGUGUUCAAAUUGGUCCUUAAUGUUUCAAUCAAAUAAAUUUGAUCCCUGAAGUUUCUAAUUUUAUGCAAAUUCAUGACAACAAAGGAAAAAUCACAUUAAGUAACACUCAAAAUCAAAUUGCAGUCAAAAGUUUAAACUUCGUGCUUUUGUUCCCUAAUAUUUGGAGUUUCAAUCAAUAUGGUCUUCAGGCUUCAAAUGAAUAUAAUUAUGAUUUAAAAAUGAGAUAAAAUGUGAACUAAAUUAAAUAUAUGACUAAACUUGAAGACAUGCAAUCUAAUUUUGGCAGAAUUGACUCUAUAAUUUUUUAAGUGGGUGGAUAGACAUUGUAACGAUGUAGCUCACUCUUUUGCUAGAUAUGCCCAAUCUGUUAGCAAUCAAUCUAUUUGGGAGCAUUAUGCUCCUUCAUUUGUACUCCCUAUUCAAAUGGUUGAUUUUCAGCCAUCAUAAUAAAGUUUUAUGUUUCUUAUUAAAAAAUUUUAAUAACACCUCAUAUUGAUACUACACCAUCCAUAAGUUUAAAGUGCAACUCUUUGUUAAUUUACAUGCAAUGGAAUAAGUACAUUGAGAUAAUAUAUAAAUGAAAAUUAGUGGAAGAAAAUGAGAGUUGUUGCGAAACUAAUACUAAUGAAAUAACAUAAUAUAAAAUAGAGAGAUGUAGACAAGAGAAAAGUAUAUAAAAGUAUAGAAUUAUUAUUUUAUAACUCAAAUGAUCAAAUGCUUACAAAAAGAUGUUGAGUGACUUCUAUUUAUAGAGACAUUGAAUAUAAGGAAACUAAAAGGUUAAUCUCUAAUUAUAAGAGAGGUUACAAAAUUAAUUGUACAGGGAAACUAAACGGUCAUCCACAUCAACUCUUUUAUCCUUUCAUAUUUUGGGGGAAUUCAAUAGACAUAGGAAAACUCAAUGGACAUAGGAGAAUGUAAUGGACAUUCAUCUCAUUUAGUUGUUUCAUAAUAUUUCCCCUUCGAUGUCCAUUACAUGAAGAAUAUAUCUUAUUAAAACCUUAUUAGGAAAAAAUCAGUAAAAAAAAAAUGCAAAUGAAGGAAAAAUAGUAUGCUAUUACUAUGUAUCAAAUUCUCUCCCUGAUUUAAACAUUAUUUGAGAUCUUUCAAUAGAUGCAUUCCAAUAAUUUUCACCAAUUUUUCAAAUGUUGUAGUCAGAAAUGGUUUGGUAAAUAAAUCUACCAAAUUAUUACUCAAUCGGAUUUGUUGCACAUCAUUUUCACCGUUCGUUUUGUAACUUAUGAGUAAAGAAAUAUAUUUCAUCCUAUCAUUUUUAAUAUAUCCUUCUUUCAAUUGAGUUAUACAAGCUAAUUUAUUUUCAUACAAUAUAGUUGGAGGAUUUUCUUUCUCAAAUGAUGAUCCAUAAUUCUUCCAGAUAUUGUGGGUCAUUGAUUUAGCUAAACAUAUUUUCAACUGGUCUCAUGAACUGCUAUUAUUUCAAUAUGAUUUGAAGAAGUGACAGGUAUUGAUUAUUUUGUAGAUUUCCAUGAAAUAAUUGUACCACUACAUGUAAAUAUACAACCAGUUUGAAACCUUGCUUUAUGUGGAGUAGAUAAAUACCCAACAUCAUCAUAACCAAGCAAUUCAUGUUGAGAUUUAUUCGAAUAAAAUAGGCCAAGAUCAACUGUUGUAAGGCCCGAAGACAACCAAUGAGACAAUGAACAAGAAAGCAAAACUGCUUGGGAGUAGAAGAGAUAAUCAAUUUAAAGAACACAAACGUAACAAUAAGUAAAUAAAAAGGAAAGAAUAGCAAACCAAUUAACUAUCCAACUCCUCUUGAGCUUGUAGGUUAAUUCAAACAAGCUACUUCAAGUUGAUGAAUUACAAUCACUCUUUUAUACAAAAGAAGGUUCCUUGCCCCGAACUCCACUCGGCCAAGCCAGGAUGUUUUACUAUCCCUCAGGACAACCCUCACAGAGCUACACUCAUGAAGUAUUCACUCACAAAUGAAAAACUUACAAUGAAUCUCACACCACUAAGACUACAAAUCUUCUUUGAAGAGUAUUUUCUCACUAAAAUCACUCUAGAUCUUUUGUAUCUUUAGUGUGUCAAAGUUAUUUGAAGUAUCUGACCAACCACUAUUUAUAUAAGAUCAAGAAAGUGCCUCAUUAAUGCUUCCAACGGAUAGAAAGUAGCUGAAGAGUUAGCUAGCCGUUGGAGUGUCGGACGUCCGAUAGCACUGUUUUAUGCGUCCGAUCGGACGUCCGACAGCAGGCAGUGAGUUUAAGAGAUUUUCUUCAAUUCUUUCGAACAUCCGGUGCAAGCUUUUUGUGCGUCCGACAGUAAACAAAGAGAUUUGAGAAAUUAUUUUGUUUCUAUCAGACGUCCGGUAGAGACAUAUUCAGCGUCCGAUAGUUUUGUCGACUUCGAAAGAUCCUAUCGGACGUCCGAAGCAUGCGGCCGAAGUUGUGCAAUGAUUAUCAAACGUCCGGUACUGUUUUCUUGAGCGCCCGACAGGUUCAGCAUACUUUGUCUUUUUCAAAUGCGCUUAAUCUUUGAACCUGAUUUAUUUCAUUAUUGAAAAAGCCUUUGAGGAGAUGUUAGCAACAUCCAUUUGUUUUGUAAUCAUCAAAAGUUAGGGACCAAGGUCAACAACUGUUCCUUAGAGAUAGCCAAAACAAUGCUUUAUACCAUACCAAUGUCAUUUUGUAGGAGAGGAACUAUAUAUUCUGUUUUAUAUAAUUAACAAAAUAUAUUAGUGCUCCAAUUGCUCUAAGAUAUAGUACUUUAGAACCAAGAAUCUCUUCAUCUUCAUCUCUUGGUUUAAAAGAAUCCUUAAUAGGAUCUAGUGACUGAACAACCAUUGAAGUAUUUAAUGGAUGUAUUUUAUCUACAUAAAAUUGCUUUAAUAUUUUCUAGGUAUAAGCAGUUUGGUGGACAAAAAUUUUAUUUUCUAAAUGUUUAAUUUCCAAACCAAGGAAAAAUGUAGUCUUGCCAACAUUUUUUAUCUCUAAUUCUUUCUUUAAAUAUUCAUCAGAUAUUAGUAACUCUUUAGAAGUUACAAUCACAUUGAAAUCAUCAAUACAUAUGGUAUGAAUUCCUGUUUGUAUUCAACUACUUUUACAUCUUUUAGUGUUUGGAUUAUAGGUCCAAAGACUUUUCAUUUUUGCCAAUGAAUUCAAUUUUUGUAGGAUCGCAGCUUUCUAUUUUAACCAAUCAUUUCUACACCGACAUGCAUCAAUCGAUAUAUUUUCAUGAUCCUCAUUAGUUUCAAUUAUGCCAACUGCUACACUAUAUGUAAAAAUAUUUAUUUCUGAUCGUUUAGGCUCCAACAUUUUUUAAUUUUCUAUAUUUUCAUCCUCUUCAAGAGUAUACUCUUCAUGAGCUAGCUGUUUAGGAUCGAUUCUUUUUCAAGAGGUUGAAUUUUGCCAUUAACAUUUACUUAAUCUCCAAAGAUAUUGGAAAUCAAAAUGUCCAACGUAAUUUAGGUGGCCUAGCCUUAAACUCAUUUGUAGUUUUUGUAUAUGUCAUUUAGGGACAUCAAUUUUAACCAGAGUAUUUCUUGUAGGAAUAUUUGAUUUAAUAACUCUUCUGGAGUCAUUAAUGCAUCCAGUAAUUGAUUUGCAAUUUUUUGCAAAUGUAUAAUCCUUUGAAGUUUUAGUUCACAUCUUUGCCUCUUCCUAUUAUCAAGAAAUAUAAUUCAUCAAAAUCACAAUCUGCAAAUCUUGCAAUAAAUAAAUCACCAUUUAAUGGUUCAAUAUAUUUAAUUAUAGAAGGUGAUUCGUACCGGAUAUAUAUCCUCAAUUUUCUUUGCAGCCCAUUUUAGUACGUUGAGGCGCCACAAUUGGAACAUAAACCUCAAAAUAAAAAAUUUUUUAAAUGAGAAAAUAUUGGGGUCAUAACCAAAUGUGAUUGCAAGGGAGAAUAAGUAUGGUAAAUUGUUGACCUAAUUCUCACAAGUAUUAUUACAUGUAAUAUAGCAUCUCCCCAAAAUCGAUAGAGGAAGUUUGAACCUCAUUAACAGCAGUCUAGCAAUUAAUUGUAGCUGUUUAAUAAAUGAUUUGGCUAGACCAUUUUGUGUGUGAACAUAAACUGUAGGAUGUUCAACAAUUAUUCCAAUGGACAUGCAAAUAUUAUCAAAGCAUGUGAUGAAUAUUCAUCAACAUUAUCCAGACAAAUUUUCUCAAUCAGAUAAUCCGAAAAUUGUACUUGCAAUUUAAUUAUCUGAAUAAGCAAUCUCGCAAAUGUUAGGCUGCGAGAAGAUAACAUACAUAUAUGUGAUCAUCUUGUCGAUGCAUUAAUUAGUGCCAUAAAAUAUCUAAAUGGUCCACAUAAUAGAUCUAUAGGUCUACAUAUAUUACCAUAAAUUUGGUUUAGAAAUGCAGGGGAUUUAGUCCCUAUCUUAGAUGGUGAUGAUUUAAUAAUUAAUUUUCUUUAGGAGCAAGCAACACAAGAAAAUUCAUUAGAAUUCAACACUUUUUGACAUUUCAAUGAAUGGCCAUGUGAAUUUUCAAUUAUUUCUCACAUCAUUAUCGACCCAGGAUGACUUAGGUAAUCAUGCCAAUUCAAAAAAUCAUUGAGAUCAGUAAACUUUUGACUUUGCAUAAUAUAAGCCAGAAGAGAGUGAAAGCACCUUUAGGCACCUUUUCUAAUACAUAUUUCUUCCCAUAAAUGGUACUUGUAAUUAAUAGGUAUGCCAAUUUGUCUCAUUUAGUGUUUUGAUGUGAUAUCCAUUUCGGCAAAUAUUUUGAAAAUUCAACAAAUUUCUUCCAGACUUAAAAGAGAGCAGUGCAUUAUUUAUGAAAAUUUUUGUUCCUUUAGGGAGAAAUACAGUGGUUUUUUUGGAGCCUUCAAUCAAUUUGAUACUACCACUUAUAGUAUUGAUAUUUGUCUCUCCUAUUUUGUGUUUAAGUAUGGUGUGUAUAGUUGCACUAUCAAUAAGGCAAAUAUCAUCAUCAUCAUUCUUUGGUCCCAAGUAUUUGGCAUCCAUUUAUUCCUCAGUAAGAAAAAUUCUUCUAAAAAAUAUUAAGAUGCACAAGUACACUUUCGUAAUAUAAAUGAUAACGAAAUAAAUUGAACUCAAAAGGAAAUGUUACCCCAAAGUUUUCCAAUUGUAUGAUACUUUUGCUCAAUAGUAGACACUUGCACUUGAUUGUUCACAAGUAUAAUCUUGAGCUUUACUUUUGCUCAAGGUAGAAACUCCUAUUACACUUUUGUUCAAAAGUAGUGGCUAGUGUUGAUAUGGUGUUGGAAAAUGAAUAGUAAUGAAAUAACAAAAUGUAGAAUAGAAUAAAAUAGAGAGAUAUAGGCAAGAGAGAAAUAGACAAAAGUAGAGAAUUAUUCUUUUAUUAACUCAAAUAAUCAAAAGUUUACAUAUUGAUGUGGAUGACCUCUAAUCAAAAGUUUAUGUGUUUUUAGGGUUAUUUUCAAAAAUUUAUUAUAACUGUGUAUAUUGGUACAAACUUUUACUACAAAUACAUUUUAGAGGUUUUUUUUUAGUUUUUUAACUAUGUGAUAAACGUCACUCCUUUCCCUUUCUCUUCCCUAACUACCUACCUUUCUUUUCUACCCUUACCCUCGACCUCCUCUUUCUCCUCUCUUUUGUCACCUCUUGUUUUUUCCAUCCCUUUUUUUCACUAGCCCUUUACCUCUUUCCUCCGCUAUCUUCUCCCUAUCUCCCUUAUGCUUCCUUCUGUUGGAAUUCUUUGUGAAUAAAAUAGAAAUAAAUUUUGUUAUAACAGAGAAGCUGAAAACUUAAGCGUCUGUUAGGAACCAAAAAGUUUCUGAAAUAUUUUUUGUAUUAUCUAUCCAUUGAAGAAACUUAAAUGGUGCCUCUUAAUGUUGAUAAAUGUGUGAAAUAAUGGCUGAGCAAUUUUCGUAACUCUUAGGUUGUGUCUUUCACUAUAGAAUAAUAAAUUUCUAACAAAUCAACUAACUAGAAUCUUGAUCGUUUCUUUAUAAGGGGAAAAUUGAUAUUUGCUAUCAAGUUUCUCUAAAUCUUGUUAUAUCGUAGAGAUAAAUCCUAUAACAAAAACUUGGUAUAGUGCAGGCAAAUAAUACCUUAAGGAUAAUGUUAAACAGGCUCAAGAUCAUUAUCUUUAACCCACUUUUUAGUGAAAUUUGCAUAAUACAAAUCUCUACACUUUCAUAUGCUUGUGUAUCAAUUACAUUAACAAUGUUAAAGUGCUAUUUGUGGGUUAUUAGUGCAAAUGAGUUUGCUAUUGAAAAUGCAAUCAAGGUGUUAAUUUAGCCACCAAUCUCUAUUUGACAAGAUGAUGAUAACAAGACAUUGAAGAAAGGUCUUGAAGGCAGAGAGAAAGAAGCAUGAAGAGGACAAAGUGAUAAACACUAUCUUGAGUUGUUUCUAUGACUUGUUCACUGCCAUCAAACUACCUAGAGAAGUUUGGAUUGCAUUGGAGUACAAGAAAACUCAAAUAAGAUGCAAAAAAAUUCUUGUAAUACAUGAUUUGAAUUUUGUGUUUAUGAUGGUUCUUCUCUCCUUGACCAAGUAAUGAUCUAUAUGUAAUUUGAAAAUCAUAAAGUGGAGAUUUCUGUGUUAUUUCAUAGUGGAGGUAACUACUGAAAAUUACGUCUAGUUGAAAUGACAAUCAAAGAAAAUCACUCUACACUACUAAAACAUGUAUGGUGGAUCAUGCUUAGAAUCAUUUUUGUAUAGAGGAAGAUGCUGGAAUUCUCUAAAAAGGGAAGUUGCCAUUGAUCCCGCGAUGAAUAAUAUGGAGAAGUAGAAGAAUACCAACAACAUCUUCAUUGGAGGGUCUAAGAAAAAAAUUUUCUAGAUGAAAAUACUAAAUUUAAGGACAAGGAGAAUUAAUAUUGUCCAAGAAUAGCAUAUUCGUCAAGCGAGAUUAUAUGACAUGUUUAACCUGGAAAUUAAUUAGUGUCAUAAUUGUACUUAUUUGAUUGAAUCUUCUUAUUCUUUGUGGCAUGAUAGUUUAUAACAUGUGAAUAUAGAAUAUAGUAUUUUAUGUCACAUAACCUAAGAAAAGAAGUGUAAAACAUGCACUCAAAUGUAGUAAUAAGUAUUUUAUUAUCUUGAUUAAUAAUUGUUCAAUACUUGUGCAUGUGUAUUUAAGGCAAAACGCCUAAACAAUAGCAUGAGAUAUGCAUAUCUAUGUUACUCUCAAGUGAAUUCAGGUACUACAAAUGCUGAUAAUGCAUUUGUUCUAAAUUUAGUCAAGACUAUGUUGUGAUCAUAAGAUGCUAAUUAUUAAAGUUAAAACUUUAGCUACUGCAUAUGUAAAAAGGCGAAGUGGUUUAGGGUUUGUUACUUGAUAACAAAUUAUGGUGCAACUUAUGCCUCCUAUCUCUUUAUUUUGUAAUGUGUACCUACCAUAUCUAGAGCCUUGAACAAGGUGAAUAAUAGUAAAUCUAGACAUUUUAAGUCUAAUACAUUAGUAUCUGAGCAAACGUCAUAAAAAUGAUGUUGUGCUAGUUGUAUAAAUAAGAACAUGCAACAAUUAAGGAUAUUUGUCAGCUAAACCCUUGUCAAGGAAAUUGGUAAAUUUAACAUCAUUAUGUAUGGGGGUUGAAAAUUUUGAUCUAAAAUCACUAGUAAUAGAAACCCUACCUUGAUUCUUGUGCUACCACUAGAUGAAAAGGUCAAAGGGGUAAUAACAAAUUAUUAAGUGGUUUUGAGCAUUAGGUACUAUUAUAUUCAUUCUUACCUACUAAUGCAUGUUGUUAUAAGAGGAUAAGUAUAUACUGAAAUUAUACUCUUAAUGAAGUGUAAAUCUUCUUAUCGUGUUUGGUCCUAUAAAAUUUGAAAAUGUCUUCACCUACAGGAUCUUAGAAAUGAUGCCACUUUCGGAAAAAGUUGGGUUUGCUUUUGUUUAUAAUCAUGAAUUUAGGAUGGAGUACAUGGCCAGUAAUAGUGCUAAAGUCCUUUGUGAAUUGAUCAAUGUUUAUAAUACCAUGUGUGUAAUAUAUUUAGUUUAUUUUUCAAGUCAUGAUUUAAUACUAUGUGCAACCUUGAUUUGGUUAGAUUUGGUGAUGUACUUACAUUAAAAGAAAAGUUUAAAUCUACCGAUACUUUUUUUAUGCAUGGUAUUUAUGUGUUAGUUUAUUUAUUUCAUUUACAAACUAAGUGGGGAUUGUUGGAAUAGUUUGUGAAUAAAAUAGAAAUAAGGCUUGUUAGAACAAAGAAACUAGAAACUUAAGGGUCCAUUGAGAGUCAAAAAGUUCUGCAAACAUUUUUGGCAUUUUCUGUCCAUUGAAGAAGCUUAAAUGGUAACUUUUAAUGUCCAUAAACGUGUAAAACAAUGGCUGAACAAUUUUUGUGACUCUUGGGUCGUGUCUUUCAUUAUAACAUAAUAAGUCUCUAACAAAUCAACCAACCAGAAUCUUAAUCUUUUUCUUUGUAAGAGAAAACUUGACAUUUCCUAUCAAGUUUCUCUAAAUUUUGUUAUAUCUUAGAGUUAAUUUGCCAUAAUCCUGUAACAAAUACUAUGAUAGUGGGGGCAAAUAAAACUUUAAGGAUAGUGUUAAAUACACCUCAAGAGCAUCAUCUUCAACCCCACCAUCUUAUUGAAAUUUGCAUAAUACAAAUUUCUACACUUUUGUGUGUUUGUAUAUCAAUUACAUCAACACCUUCACUUUUUUAGAUAUCUCAAUUUGGGGUGCAAACGAGUUGAGUCGAGUUGAGUUUUGAUCUAAUUGAGUCGAAUCUCCAGUUAAUUUUAUGAAGCACGAACUCGAGUUCGAGCUCGACAAACUCAAAAUGUCAAGUUUGAGCUUAAAAAAAAUAAUUAUUAUUUUAUUUUUAAAAAAUAAAAAAAUAAUUAUUAUUUUAUUUUUAAAAAUAAAUAAAAUAAUAAUUUUUAUUAAUAAAUAAUAAAAUAUUAGGGAUAUAAUUAUUUUACUAUUAAAAUAAAAAAUAAAAAAAUAUAAUCGAGCUCUCGAGUAGAGCUUUAUGUUUUUGAGCUUGAGCUCGAGUUCGAAUUCGAUUUGAUCAGCUUGAGCUCGACUCAAGCUCAAUAUUGAUCGAGCUUGUAUUGGAGCUGCUCAUUCGUUUGCAGCCCUAAUCUAUUAGAGGGGAAAAGGGAGGAGUGGGCUUGAGGGAAGCAGGGGAGCGAGAUGUGGAAAAAGAGAGAGAAGGAGAAGAGUAAGGAAGGUAGCAAGUUUCAACCAGAUAAGGUGGGAAGGCAGAGAGAGGGGUAGAAAAGGAGGAAGAAGGAAAAGGAAAAGGGAAAAGAAAGAGAAAGGUAAAAAGGGGGAAGGAGAGUUGGUUGAGGCAGUAGAGGGAGAGGGAUGGUUUGAAGAGGUGGAUUGGAUUUAGUGAUAGGGGUGGUGGGGGAAGCAGCUCAUCUCAGUUGGAAAAUCUCUCUAUUUCCCUCAAUGCACUCCUAGAUAUGCGACAUGUGUCACAUUUAUGAGGAAAGGUCAGGAUCAUUUUGACUUAACCACAUCUAGUAAUCUUGGUUAUUUGAUGUUAAAUAACUAAAAAUUAACACCAUUACUACUCUUAUUUUCUUGCUCUCACCAUCAAAAAACAUAAAAAUCCAAAUUUUCAAUAUGCCACCAAAAUUAAAAAAUUAGAGAACCUCAACUAAAUUAUUCAAGUGCACAAAGCAGAAUCACAAGAAGAAUAUCCAAGUGCAGAAACCCGAAUAAAAAUAAAGAGAGGAGGAAGGAGAUUUUUGGCCUAUUUUGCAAAAUAAUAGGUUUGUAAUGGUAUGUUUCUAAUUUUUUCUAUAUGUAAUAAGUGAAAUUCCGUUGGAUAAAGAAUGUAUUGGCUUGCAUGCACUUGUGAUCGAUGAACUAAGAAAUAGAAAAUUUGAGGUUUGUUUUAUGGUUGCCUAGAAGAUGUUUGAUAAGUUGCCUAGGUGGAAAAUUGUUAUCUAUAGUAUGUUAAUGAAUACAAAGGUUUUACUAGUACAUUUGUUUAUAAUGGCUAUGCCUAAUUAAGCAUUUGGAUGCUAGUUCUAGUUGAAAUGGUAAAGUAUAAAGGAUAAACUUGUAAACCAGCAUUGCCAAGGGACUAGAACAUGAAUUGCUCAUUAGAUUUUCUUCAAAAUAAUUAGAAUAACUUAUAGUGCCUUAAACUAUAGCUCUAGUUAAUUUUCUCAAACAAAUUGUACUUCAGACGUAAUAUGUAUGAGUUUAGAAGCCGAUAUCUGUCUACCCACAAAAAAGAGUUUGGGAUUGUACGCUACUUGAGGCCUACCUAAUCCAUCUAGAGUUAAAGAAUAACAAAACCUAAAUUUGACCAGGUUUAUCAAAAGAUUCUAGUUUGAAAUUCCUUGUGUACAUUUAAGCUAAAAUUCUAUGAGACAAAGUAGGUAUUGAUAUUGUCUUUGGAACAUGAUUUUCAAAAGCAUUAACCUAGAAUGAAUAUUAACAAAGGUAUCUGAUUGUUAAAUUAUCUGAUAUGAGAAGUUGCUACAUUGAAUUUUGUUUUUUUUUAAUAAUAGGGUAGCAAAUUUACGUCACUAUGUAUAUGGAAACUUAGUUUAUUUGUAUUAUGUCUCAUGCUUAUUAGUCAUUUGAAGUUAACUUGUGUCCUGUCUUUUAUGUGCAAAAAUACAAAGUUUUCUCCUUGAUUAAAAUUUUAUGUGCAAAAUCACAAAGUUUUCUCCUUGAUUAAAAUUUUAUGUAGGAGAUGACGUGUGACAAUCUUCAAUCAUCUUAUGCUUUAUUUCUUGGUACAUGGAUAAUCUACCAAAAUGAACUUGACCAUGAUGACAUUGAUCCAUCAAAUGAACUAGUCCAUGAUAAUAUUGAUCCACUCGAUGAACUACACUACGAUGAUCUUGACAUCUUGCCAAUGAGUUUAGGAAUGGAAUCAGAAUAGAAGAAGAUGCAUAUACAUAUUAUAAUAGAUAUGCUUGUGCUAUUGGUUUUAGUAUUCAAAAAGAAUAUGCUAACAAGAAUAAAGUGCAUGGUUAUGUAAUAUCAAGAAAGUUGAUGUGUUAGAAGGAAGGUUUCAAAGGGAAAGACAAAUGUGGUAUUUUUGUAAAGAAACCAAGAAGAGAAACCCGAACGGGAUGUCUAGCACAUAUCAUUAUUAGGCGUCAGAGAAUGCAAUAUAUUGGGUUACUUCUUUUGAAAAAAAAAGAAACAUAAUCAUCAUCUUGUUUCACCAAAACUUGCUCACUUGUUAUCAUCAUUAAGGAAGAUUCAAAUUGUUCAGGCAAUUGGCAUUUACUUGGCUGAUGAUUCGGGAAUACUAGUUAAAGUUUCUUUUGAGUAUGCUUGUUGACAAGCUGAAGGUCGAGAAUGUCAAGGAUAUACUAGAAGCGAUCACAAAAAUUACAUUUGUGAUAAGUCAAAAAAUGACUUGAAACACGGAGUAGCUUGAAGUACGUUAGACUGCUUCGAAAGGCGAAAACUAGAAGAUCCUAGAUUUCAUUCUUUACUUUAGUUGGAUGACAACAAUUUGAUUGCUAAUGCUUUUUGGGCAUAUUCAAAAACGAUUAAUGAUUACAGAAUCUUUAGGAACGUGGUAUCAUUUGACACAAUCUACAGAACAAACAAAGAUUGCAGACCAUUGGCAUUAUUUGUUGGUAUGAUAAUCACAAAGAAAUGAUCAUUUUGGUGAUACUUUGAUGUAUGAAGAAUCUACAAAGUCAUUCGAAUGGCUUUUUGAGGCAUUUACUAGAGUAAUGGGUCAGAAGAAACUGAAGACAUUUCUUCCAUAUGAAUGUUCAGUAAUCGCUAGUGCUGUCCAGACAGGAUGAGGAAGAUUUUUUAGAUGUUUGGAAUAAUUUGAUUCAGACAUGUGGCCUUGAAAAGAAUAAUUAGCUAAAGGAAAAAUUUACCACUACAAAAAAGUGGUCUCUUGCAUAUGAAAGAAGUACAUUUUUAGCUGGCGUGCGGAGUACACAAUUAAGUGAGAGUUUCAAUGCCUCACUAAGAAAAUAUUUAAGGUAUAACUUGGAUGUGGUACAAUUCUUUGAACAUUUUGAGAGGAUAGUUGAUGGGAAGUGGUGCAAUGAUAAAGAAUCAAAUUUUGACAUGUCACAAAGGUCGUCUGCCAUGAAAGUUGACAUUCCUCUUUUGAGAUAUGACAGGGAUAUUUACACUUUCAAAAUAUUUGAUAAGUUUCAAAAGUAGUGGUAUAAAUCUUUACUUGCUAAGAUUGUUGACUGCAAACUUGAAGGGACCACUUUUUGUGCAAAGUUUGCAUAGAGGGAAACACUAGAGAGUAUACCAUAAUAGUGGAACCAUGUGAAACAAAGGUAACCUACAGUUGUAAAUUAUUUGAGUUUCUCAAAAUACUCUAUAGACAUACAUUAAUGGUGUUAGAUGCAAUGAAUAUUAAAUUAUUAAUUUUGAGGCACUACAUCUUAGAGAGAUGGACCAAACAUGCAACCAGCAUUGAUCAAGUGCAUAUCAACGAAUUCAAUGAAGAAUUGGAAGUUAACAUGAGGUAUCAAAACUUAUACUCUACUUAUAUUAACUAACUAGCUAAGCAUCUCAAUCCAAAGAAGGAUCUCAAUUGCUUGCAAAGUAUGCAAGUAUCUUAAUGAUUGAAUUAAAGGAUAUUAAGAACAGAAAUAAUGUAGUGGGAUUGUCAAAAACUUUUGAAAGGGAUGAAGUAGAUGUUAUUACUAAAGAUGGCUGAAAGGUGAAAGGUUUGAAAAGAAAAGAGCCAAAAUUUUGAGGAAAUACAUGACCAAAGAAUUUCUUGGAAAGAGCUGCAAAGAAACAAGAAAAUUCCAAAGGUACCUGCAAAUAAGAAUAUUGUCAAGCAAUCAGCUCCUUACAAAAGUCCUAAUAGUACUUGUCAAGUUCAGAAAGAAGGUUCUUCCAGGGUAUGUAUUGCAAGUAAUUUGCUUUUUUUUUUGAAUAAUUUAAUAGUUUCAUAAUUUUAAGUGAUUUUUCCCUCUUUACUUGGUUUACAAUACAGUUUCUAAUAUAUUCAGAGAGAUCAAGAAAUUGUCUCCAUGUGGAUAAAAUAGCAAAAGGAUAAUAUGUGACUCUAGAUUGCCGGAUCUCAUCUUAAAAAUUUGAAAUCUUUUGUUGUUGUAUUUAAGGAAGUUUAGUAUCUCAUAAGUCAAUUCUCAAUACAUUUUAGUAACUAAUCAAUUGAAUGUUUGGAUUGUAGGCAGUUGGAGUAGUCCCAAGACAGCUGUUAUUGAUGUUGAGACUAAUGCCAUAGAUGAUGCAGACAAAGAAUUAGGGUACAUUUGGUGGCUUUCAAAACCAUAUCAAUUACCAUGUGAAGGAGAAUUUUCUCUACUUCUAAGGGUCUAUGCAAAUAAUUUUUAAAAUGUUUGGAGAUUUUUCACAACAGUGAAAACUAGCAUAUAUAAAUAGCUUUUUGUGUAUCAUUUGUAGGGUUUUUCAUGCUAUGAUCUGAAUAAAAAUCUACAAGGAUAAGAUUUAGAAAUUUACAGGUAAAUUAACUUAAAAAUUCCUGCUUUUAGUUGUGUUUUAGGGUAUGCCAUGCUACAUGCUAUAGAAUGAGGUUCUUUUUUAUUUAUUUGGUUUUUCCUUUUCAUUGUUCCUUUGCUUUCACUUGUCAUUAUGGAAUGAAAUGUAUCGGGUUCUUCUCAUGGUGUGUGAAACAUAAGGAUGGGAGGUUCCAGAUGAUGCUCACUGUCAAAUUUCAAAACUAACUCACUUAGUUUAGAUAUUGUUAGAAAGCAGUGGUAUUAUUGAAUUUGAAAUUGCAGUGAAAUUAGUUGAUUUGGAAGCUGACUGCAUAUUAUUACUGCAACAAUUGAGGGAUUUACAUUAGCAAAAAUUUUGGGUUACUAAAAAUCAAAACAAAUAGUUGCUAAGGAUUUACAUUAGCAACGUGUUUCUAAGAGUCAAUUCAUUGUGAUUAGUAGUACGAUAUGUUAUUUUCAUCAUGUCCUUUUAUAGCUGAAAAAAGUUAAUAUGAAUUAUUAUAAUUGCAAUUUUUGAUAUGGCUAGUGAAUAAAAGCUUUUCAAAUAAUAGCAAAUUCUUAGUUUUAUGAGAAUAGAUAUGCAAAAUUAUGUUGAUGAGCAGCAAAAAAAAUUUACUUUUUUGGAAUGGUACAUUUCACAUAAAACGUGGGUAUUAAUUAACUAUUUGAUUACAUAAUAAGGCUUGUCGAUUAUACAUUUUCUUUUACUAAGGAAAAUUGCUAUAAACUAUUGUAAUUUUCUUAAAUAUAUGUAUUGUAAAUAAAAGCUUUUCAAAUGAUGCAAAAUUCCAACCGAUAGAAAUAGUUAAAGACUUAGUCACUUGGUUCAAUAGCCAAAAAAAUUAUUUUUCAUGCGGUACCCUUUAUAAUAAGCAAUGGUAUAAUUCAACUACUUCAUAGUACAAGAUGAUUUUUUGAUUGUUCACUUUCUUGUACUAUAAAAAAUUAGUAUGAAUUAUUUUGGAUUUAAAUAUGGAUAGGAUUGUGAGACUUUUUCAAAUAAUGAAAAAUGAAAAAAAUAUAUAGUUUUGGUCCGCAAUGUUUGGCUAAGAACCUAUUUUAGUCCCUAAAAUUUGAGCCAAAGUGAAUCUGAUCGUUAGUUAGAAUUCAAAACUUUACCUAACUACCCUAUCCGCAAGUAUACGGGUCAACGAAUAUAGAGUAUUAAGGUCGUUUGCAUAGGGACUAAGGAAAGCACUAGGAUUUUGUUCACUGGCUUUCAUGAUUUACCAAGGAAAUAACUUCCUAAUGCGUGUCCUUGCUUUAGCCAAUGAACAUGAUGUUGUUGGAAAUUGUUUUUUCCAAUUUCUCAACUAUUUAUACCCUUUUUUAACCUAUUUUCAUAGAAAAAAGAUUAAAUACAAGUUGAAUAAGUUCAAUGAAAUUAUUACAUGAAAAUCCACCCAACUCUAUUCCCUACUUUCGUGAGAAUAAAAUUAGGAUCUAAGAACCAAGAUUUAUAUAUAGACAACUUUCAUUGUUCAUACAAUCAUCAAAUAAUUCAUAGUUGGUGGCCAACAACCAUAAAUUGUAAGCACAAGUUCUUAGACUAGUCAAACCAUGAAAUAGCAUAAUCAUUUCUAACUACUUCAUAUCAAAGCAACAAGAAGUUCAUUUUUACCAUUAAAUAUGAAAAGUUUAGCUAAACAUCAUGUUAAGCACGUCCAAGCAUGAAUAACACUUGCAACUAAACAUUGAAAAUAAGCACAAGAGGAAAAGAGUACAGGAAGAAUAAUUCUUAUUCAAUUUCUCGAAAUUGAAUUCUUGAACUCCUUUACAAGUUGUUCCCUUAAAUAAGUAAAGUGCAAGAAUGUCUCUUCAAUUUCUCUUUUAAACUCUCUCACUAAACUAGAGUAACAAAAAACUCGAUCCUAAAUUUUGACUAAAAUAGUUCCUAUGUCAAAUUUUUGGGGCCAACACUACAUUUUUUUAAUUAAAAACUCGCUAAGUUUAUGAGUAUAGAUAGGCACAUGUGUUGAUAAUAGGACAAAGAGGUCUUGCAUUCAAAUCUGCCUUUCAAUUCCAUGCUUUUUAAAUUUCACCCAUUCUCUACUAGAAAUUUUUUUUUUAAAAAAAUGGAUAGACAUAAUUAUUUUGGUUAGAUAGCCAAAAGUAUUAAAUUUUUAGUAUGCUACUUUUUGUAUUAAAUGACGAUACAAUUUAACACUUUCUUUCACUAAGCAAAGUUGGUAUGCACUGAUAUAAUUUUAUUUUUGAUAUGGAUGGUGAAUGAAUUGAAUGAAAUUAUUUUCAAAUUAUUAAGAAUUUCUAUUUUUUACAAAUUCAAAUAAUUAUGUAAGACCCGAAGACAACCUAAGAGGGGGGUGAAUUAAGUUGAUUAGAAAACUAAUCAAGUUAUGGGCACUUUUUGUUCAAUAUGAAAUUUAUCCUCUUUCUUAAGUGAUCACACAAUGAAUCAAUCAAUGAAUGAACAAUAUCACUUGAGAGAACUAGAAGAGAUAAGCAAUUUAAGGAUCACAACAUAACAAUAAGUAAAUAAAAAAGGAAGAAUUGCAAACCAAUUGACUACCAAACUCCUUUUGAACUUGUAUACCAAUUCAAACAAGUUUCUUCAAAUUGACGAAAUACAACCAAUCUUGUGUACAAAGGAAGGUUCACUUCCUCCUUGUCCCAAUUUUCACUUGGUCAAGUUAGGAAGUUUUACUAUCCCUCAGGACAACCCUCACAGACUUAUACUAUUGAAAUAUUCACUCACAAAUAAAAAGCUUACAACAAAUUUCACACCACCAAAACUACAAAUCUUCCUUGAAGAGUAUUUUCUCACUAAAAUCACUCUAGAUCUUUUGUAUCUUCAGUGUGCAAAAGUUAUUUGGAGUUUCUGAUCAUACUCUAUUUAUAGGAAACCAAGAAAGUGCUUCAUAAUGCUUUCAACGGAUAGAAAGUAGCUGAAGAGUCAACUAGUUGUUGGGAGUGUCGGACAUCUGAUACUCCUAUUUUUUGCGUCCGACAGCAGGCAGUGAGUUUGAGAAUUUUUUUUUAAUUCUAUUGGACGUCUGGUAUUGUCUUUGUGAACAUCCAACAGCUUUUAUCGAGUUUGAAGGAUCCUAUCGGACAUCCGGUAUUUCCAUCCGAUAGCAAACAAAGAGUUUGAAGGAUUCUAUCGGACAUCCGAUGCUUGUGUCCGAUCGAGGUCAGUGAGUUAGGGGGAAUGUCUUAUUUCCUUCGGACGUCCGGUGAUGGAGUUCUUCAUGCGUCCGAAGUUACACAAUGAUUAUCGGACGUCUGAUCCUGUCUUCACAAGCGUCCGACAGCUUUCAGCAACUUUUGUUUUUUUUCAAUUGCACUUGAUCUUUGAAUCUGAUUUGCUUCAUAACUGAAAGUAUAUCUUGAAGAGACAUUAGUAGCAUCCAUUUGUUUUGUAAACAUCAAAAGUUAGGGACUAAAAUCAACAAAUUACAAUUAUCUGAUAGGAAGCAAGAAAAAAAGUUUAUUCUUCCAAUAUGGUACCUUUUAUAUUAAAAAGAGUACAAAUUUAAUUGUUUCAUAAUCAAACACGAGUUUCUCAGUAAGGUUAAUUAUUUUCAAUUAUAAAAAUUGUGUCUUAAUAUGAAUUAUGAAUGAAAUACUUUUAAGUUCAUGAAAAACCCCCUUUAUGAGUACGAGUAACAAAUGCAUUUAGCAAUUGAAAAUUGAAAAUUUUACAAAUAAUAAGUUCUAAAAAUUUCUGAUUUCGGCACUUGAUAAUUUACUCCAUGGCUGGAGCUUUUGGCAGCAUAUUGAAAAUUUUGGAUUUUUAUGUUUUUUGACAGUCAAGAGAGCAAGAUAUGGUUAACAUCAAAUAACCAAGGUUACUAGAUAUGGUUAACUCAAAAUGAUCCUGACCCUUCCUCAUAAGUGUGACAUAUGUUGCAUAUUUUGUCAGGAUCAAGCGCUUACCAAUGCACCAAAAACUAUAGCUGUUAACGAAAGCGCAACUUUAUUUCCUUAACUACAAUGGCAGCGCAAAACACCGUACCAUGCUCGGCUAGCAUGAGGGGCUGCACCCCUGGGUGCCACGGAUUGGGCGGUUAGUCCCUUCGAAUCGAGAUCUGAGGGAUGUUACUGAUUAGGCCAAUAAUCCCUUCCCCAGCAACAGCCAGGAAGACUCGAACCCGCGACCUCGCUCUGAUACCACUUGUUAGGAUCAAGCGCUUACCAUUGCACCAAAAGCUAUAGCUGUUAGCGAAGGCGCAACUUUAUUUCCUUAACCACAGUGGCAGCGCAAAGCACCGUACCACGCUCGGCCAGCAUGAGGGCCUGCACCCCUGGGCGCCACGGGCUGGGCGGUUAGUCCCUUCGAGUCGGGAUUUGAGGGAUGUUGCUGAUUAGGCCAACAAUCCCUCCCCCAACAACAGCCAGGAAGACUCGAACCUGAAUGUUAGGAAGAUAGCCUUAUGUAACUGAAGUGUAUGUGUUUGAGGGAAUUGAGUGUCUUAUUCAUGUGCCAGAUAAACAUAUAAACAGGAGAACUUACAACUUCAAAUCCUAAAAAGAUGGCAAAUCAAUAUCUAAACUACUCUGCUGAUCCCCAGCAACUACACGGCUAGAACUAAGGAAACAAACCUCCAGUAUUGCUAACGACUAGAAGACUUAUUCAACAGAUAUUUAACAUUCCCUCCCGUAAACUGAAUUAUCCCAUGCAUUUAGUUUACAUUUGUUACGACUCCCAUCCUGUCUCGCAUUCUUAUAAAGUCUUCCAACUUGAGUGGCUUGGUCAUGACAUCUGCUACUUGUUCUUGUGGACUGCAAUGUAGUAGCUCAACCAUUCCGUUCCUUGUAAGUUCCCUCAGGAAGUGGAAGCGUAUGUCUAUGUGCUUACUUCUCCCAUGCAGAACUGGAUUCCUUGACAAUUUGAUAGUUGAGCUAUUAUCACAGUAGAUAGCUGUGGGAUUUAUUUGAUUUCUUCCUACAGUUUCAAGUAUCCUUCUGAGCCAUACUGCCUGACAUGAGCUUUCUGCUGCGGCUAUAAAUUCUACUUCAGUGGUUGAUAGACUCACCACAGGCCGCUUCUUUGAGAUCCAUAAGAUAGCAGCCUCACUCAGCAUAAACACAUAGCCAGAUGUGCUUUUCCUGUCUUCAACAUCACUGGCAUAGUCACUAUUUGUGUAGCCCACCAGUUCUCUUCCUCUAUUUCUCUGAUAGAACAGUCCAUAUUCACUUGUUUCUUUGAGGUAGCGAAUGAUUCGCUUUACUGCUUGGAAAUGAAGCUCCUUGGGAUUAUCCAUGAAUCGGCUAACUUGACUCACACUAUACAUGAUAUCUGGUCUCGUGGCAGUGGCAUACAUUAGGCUCCGACCAUCUGAUUGUAGAGCGUCUUGUCUACUCUUUUCCCGUCUUCAUCCUUGCUUAGUUUACCUCCUGGAACCAUUGGAUUAUGGAUUGAUUUCAAGUUUUCCAUCCCAAAUCUCUGUAGAAGACCUGCCAUGUACUUCUUUUGACACACAAAGAUACCAUCAUCCUUCUAUGUUGCUUCAAGACCGAGGAAAAACUUCAUUUUUCCCAAGUCGGUCAUAGCAAACUCCAGUUUCAUAGACCUCUUGAACUCCAUCAUCAACUUAUCAUCAUUCCCUGCGUAAAUCAAAUCAUCCACAUACAAACUUACGACCAGGAUACUUGUCUUCUCCACCUUAGUAAAUAAUGUGGGUUUGUAUUCAUAUUUUUCAAACCCAUGGCUGGGAAAAUACCCUUCAAUGCGACUGUACCAAGCCCGAGGGGCCUGUUUUAAUCCAUAUAGAGCACGUUUCAGCUUGUAUACUUUACCUUCUUCCCCUUUCUGCUCAAAUUCCUAUGGUUGUUCGAUAUAGACAUCUUCGGUUAAUUUCCCAUGUAGGAAGGCAGAUUUUACAUCCAAUUGAUAGAUGGGCCAUACAUGGUGAGCAGCUACGGCACUGACUAGCCGAAUAGUCUCCAUGCGAGCUACUGGAGCUAACACCUCCAUAUAAUCUACACCAUGCUCUUGAAUAUAUUUUCGGACCAUCAAUCGUGCCUUGUAUUUGCUGACCUCUCUAUUCUCAUCACGCUUAGUUUUGAAGAUCCACUUGACUUCAAUCCUUUUAGCCCCAGCUGGGAGAUCAAUUAAAAACCACAUACCAUUCUGUUCUAUAGUUUCAAUUUCUUCUUGCAUGGCUUUCCUCCAUAUAGGAUUUUUUUCAGCUUCUUCAAAAUGGACAGGAUCAUCUCCCCCGCUGUCAGUGAGGUGUAAUUCAAGGUCUUCUUCAGAUAGCUCUUCACCUGUGAAAUAAUCCUGCAUCCAUGUUGGUGAAGUCCGUUGCCUUGUUGAGGGAGGACGCUGCGAUAUGGUGGGUGGAAGCUACGAUUCUGGAGCUUCCUCCUACUGCUGUGCCUCGUCUUUUUCUGUUUCCUGCUCCUGAUUAUCGCACAUUUCGCCAUUACUUUCAUUCCAAUCCAAAUCAGCUGCAAUCGAUGGUGCGCAUUCUCCUUCCCAAUUCUAGCAUCUGUCCUCUUCAAAUACAACAUCCCGACUAACAAUUAUCUUUCUGCUGAUCAAAGAGUCGGUAAGCCUUGGAUGCUUCACUGAGCCCAAUAGAACACAGGUUGUACUUCGUUGACCCAAUUUCCCUCGAGUGUUAUCUGCCACAUGCACAUGGGCUAUACAUCCGAAAACUUUAAAAUAUCCAACUGAAGGUUUUUGUCCACUCCAAACUUUCUCUGGUGUCUUGUUCUUCACUGCAAGCGUCGGACUCCUGUUGAGAAUGUGUAUUGCCCAAUUAACAGCUUCUGGCCAAAACAUUUUUGGGAUAUUUUUCCCAAACAUCAUGCUUCGAACCAUAUUCAUAAUGGUACGAUUCUUUCGCUCGGCAAUGCCAUUCUGCUGUGGUGAAUAUGCAGAGUAAGCUGCCUUUUUAUCCCAUGUUCAACACAGAAAUUUAAGAAUGCUGAUAAGGUGAACUCGCCACCACGAUCUGUACGCAGACCUUUAAUUGGCAGUCCUGCUUCAUGUUUAACUUUGAUUUUGAACUCCUUGAAGAUUACAAAUGCUUCAGAUUUUUCAUGCAAGAAAUACACCCAUGUCUUUGGGCUGCAAUCGUCGAUGAAGGUGAUGAAGUAUCUCUUGUUGCUGUUUGAGAUUGGUUGAAUGGGACCACAUAAAUCGGAGUGAAUCAAUUGUAGUGGCAGCUCUGCUCUCCAUGUACUCUUCUUAGGAAAGGGAUCCCGGUGUUGUUUCCCAAAUAGACAGUCUUUGCACACUCUUGAUGGUUUUGUUAGUUGCGGUAGCCCCAACACCAUCUCCUGCUGUUGUAGCAUGUAGAGACCCUUGAAACUCAAGUGACCAUAUCGGCAGUGCCAUAGUUGGCCAAUAUCUUCCGUUAUCGUAUUGAAGCAAGUCGUUCCUGUUGGUAGAGGCACUGCUACAACCUUGAACAUGCAAUUGAAGGACAUGGCUGAUUCCAUAAUAACAGCUCUCUCAGGAUGAUAUACUUUACAACUGUUGCAUUGAAUAAGCACGGCUAGACCCUUCUCUUGGAGCUGUCCGAUACUUAGCAAGUUGUUUUUCAAUUCAGGCACAAAAAAUACUUCUGUUAUAACCUGAACUUGAUUGUUGAUUUGCAAUUGUACAUUUCCUUUUCCUUUUACCACCAAAUUUGCAUUGUUCCCGAGCUUCACGUUAUCAGAGAAUUGCUCAUUAAAAUCUGCAAAAUAUUCCUUUCGAUUGCACAUGUGAUUGCUGCAGCCAGAGUCUAGGAACCAAACAUCACUCUUGAAUUGUUUGUCUUCAACCUGGGCCAUCAGUAGCAUCUCUUCAGAAACUUCUGUAUGGUUGCUUUCCUUGCUUUGACAUUCCCACUGGAAGUGCCCUAACUUAUGGCAGUUGUAGCACUCGAUAGUGGAUUUGUCAAAGAUUGUCCUUUCGCGUCCACAUUCUCGUCCUCGAUAGCCUCCACGACCUCGGCCUCGAUUUGCAGUCCCCUCGUGAGUCACCUUCAAGGCUUGUUCCUCGUCCAAGCUGCUCAUCCUUUGCUCAUACACGAGCAAACUGCUUUGCAGUUCAUCUAUAGAUAUGUUGCUGGUGUCUUGUGCUUCCUCAAUGGAGCAGACCACGUAAUUGAAUUUCGGAGUCAUAGAUCGCAGGAUUUUCUCCACGACUGCUGUGUCGCCUUUGUUUCACCGUUGGCCUUCAUCUUGUUUGCAAUCGUAAGUGUUCGUGCAAAGUAUUCAUUCACCGUCUCUCCAGUCUUCAUGUGAAGUGUCUCAAAUUCCUUCCUCAAAGCCUGGAGUUGCGCUCUCUUAACGCACGUUGAACCUUGAUACUUCUGCUUUACAGAGUCCCAUAUGUCCUUGGACGUGUCUUUCUUGAGGAUUGUCUCAAGAAUGGAUGGAUCCAAGGCUUGGAAGAAAUAAUUCUUCACCUUCAGGUCCUUUAGUUUCUGUUCAUCUAUUUGGCGCUGCUGCUCCUCUGUGAUUGCCUUUCCAGCAAGUACUGCUGGUACACAUUUUUCCACCAAGUGCCAGUAUUCUUUUGACCUUAGGAAAUUCUCCAUCAGCAUUGCCCAAUGGUCAUAGUGUCCAUCGAACUUGGGAAUUGAAGGUUGCACGAACAUACUUUCAGUUGCCAUCACUCUUUCUCACUCAAUGUUUACCUAGCUGCUGCUAUGACGUAUCAGGCCUGAACUAGGCUCUAGUAUCAGAAUGUUAGGAAGAUAGCCUUACGUAACUGAACUGUAUGUGUUUGAGGGAAUUGAGUGUCUUAUUCAUGUGCCAGAUAAACAUAUAAAUAGGAGAACUUACAACUGCAAAUCCUAAAAAGAUGGCAAAUCAAUAUCUAAACUACUCUGCUGAUCCCCAGCAACUACACGGCUAGAACUAAGGAAACAAACCUCCAAUACUGCUAACGACUAGAAGACUUAUUCAAUAGAUAUCUAACACAUUUACGAGUGUAUUGAGGGAAAUGGAGAGAUUUUCCAAUAUAGAGGAGCCACUGGUAGGUGCUCGAGAUAAGGGUGGAGGGUGGCGGUCCAGUGGUGGGGAGGGAAGAGAUGGGUUGUAUUGGAGAAUUGUGGGGAUAUAUUUUGAGGUGUUUUUUGUGAGUGUUAUUGUAAAUUUGUAUUCCAAAUACAAUUUUUUGGCCAUGCAGGCCCAUUGUCUAACAAGCAUAAAUUUAAGCCAUUUAAGCUUCUUUUACUGACUUGUUUUAAUUCAAAUAAUUUCAUAUUUUUUAUACUUAUGUUUGAAGUCUGUACAAUGUAACUCUAAGAAAUGCAAUCUUUGUGGGCAUUCUUUGAAUUCUGAGUACGAUAAUUACUUAUUUCAUUUUUUUUUGGAAAAAUUUGCAUAUGAAAUACUUGAUUAAAGAAGAUAGGGAAACAAGAGAAGAUGGAGAAUUUUACACACACACACACACAUAUAUAUAUAUAAAGAUGUUUAUUUUAGGGUCUGUAAGCAAAAAAGAAAUUUUUUUGUAUGUUUUUUAUGGUUAUUUAAGAUGUACAAGUAAAAAGCAUUUAUCGUAUAUGUUUUAUUUUUAAUCGUGGCUGGCAAACUAUUGAUUUGGAAUAUUUUCAGUGACUAAAAGGUGUGAAAUUGAAAGAGAAUGUUUUUCUAUAUGGAGCAAGAAGAAGAAACCGAAAGAGUAUGUCUUAAAACUUAUUUAAUCAGGAGAAGUAAAUAUAAUAAGAGUACUGCCUGUAAGAUAGCUUGCAAGGAUGAAACUCCCUGUGACUGUAAUUUUGACCAUAAAAGAGCAAAUUAUUCGGAUGACCACUGAAUUUUCGGAAUCGUUGAGUUUUAACCACUGAACUAUUAAAAGUUUGGUUUUGAUCACUAAACUAUCUAAAGUUUAAAUUUUAGGUCAUUCCGUCAAAUUUAAUCGUUAACUAUACCUCUUUCUUUUGUCUCGUGAAUCUUGCAAACACUCAAAUCUGUCAUGUUUAACAAUUAAAUCUAACGGAAUGGCUCGAUAUCUAAACUUUAGAUAGUUCGGUAGUUAAAACCAAACUUUUAAUAGUUUAAUGGUCAAAACUCAACGAUUCUAAAAGUUUGAUGGUCAUCCAGAUAAUUUGCUCACCAUAAAAUGCACAAGGAUGGAUAUCACCGAGAAGAGAUUGCCUAUUGCCCUUUUGAAUAGAUAGGUUCAAAUUAUUUUUCUCUAGACAACCUAAAAUAGAAGAGUUAUUAUCACUUUACCCCCCCUAAGUUUUAUAGCUACUAUCAGUUUAUCCCCUAAUAUUAUCUUUUAAUCAGUUUACCUCCAAAUAGCAUUAUAUGAUUUAGAUGAGAUGACAUAUGUAGUCCAAAAUAAUAGUUGAUGACAAGAAUGCCCAUUUGUUCCAAAAUUGCACUGGGCAGGAAAAAGACAAGUUACAUAGGAAAAUAAAAGUUUACACUCACGAAAAAGUUAAGAUGAUUUUUUUACACUUAUGAAAAAGUUUAGAUAGGUCUAGAAAAAUUUCAUAUUAUAACCUUAUAACUAAAGCAGCCAAGAAAUUAAGAGAAGAAACAAGAAAUAAAGAAAAAAGGAAUUAAAAAAUUAAGGGAUCUGUGAAAAAGGGUUGAAACCCCACUCCGUGUACGGGGUUUAAAAAUAAAUAAUAAUAAUAAUAAUAAUGACGGUAACCUUUUUUUCUCUAAAAAAAGGUAAAAUGAAAAACCACAUGCAUAACAUAGAACUUGUUAAUUAAUUGAUAAAUUUUGAGCAAAUUAAAAGGUCUUAAAUAGAAAUUAAGUGCACUUUAGCUUUAUAAAGAAGAAGAAAAAUUACGAUUGUAAUAUAUGGUAUAAUAAAUAGGUAGAUAAAAUGAUAUUUCAUCUUAUGAUAUUUUCUUGAGAAUAAAAUGAGAAACUAGAAAGGAAAGAGGAAAAUCCAAAAUUAAAAAAAUUGAAAGGCUAAAAAAUUGUAUUUUAGGAAAGUGAUUUGAAUAUUUUUUAAUCAUUUAAGGAGAAGAUAGAUUUCUGCAAUUCAUCUUUUUUAAUUUCAAUCAUUAAGGUGAAAAUUUUUGUGGAAAAGAGGAAGAAUUAAAUAAAAAGGAAAGAGAAAAAGAAAUAAAAGAAAGGAAAACAAGGUAAAUGAAAAGUCAAAAUAAUGCAAAGGCAAUUUUGUCCUAAAGGGGGUUAAAUGAGCAAAAUUAAAGGUUAGGAGGUAAACUGAGAAAUGAGAUAUUCUUUAAGGGGAUAAAAUGUGAUUAACCCUCUCCUACCUUCCGCCAUUCCCUACCUCACUUUCUUCCCUCCCCCCUCUCCCCCAACCACCUCCAUUUUCUCCCUUCCCCUCUCCUCUCCUCUCCUAUCCUCUCCUACACUCUCCACCACCUCCCAUGCCCCCAUCCUCCCUCUCUGGUACCCCCCUCACUAUACCUUGCCCUCCUUCUCCAUCUCAGAUCUAGUUGACCAGAUCUAAAAAGGAGAGGUGGUGGGAGAGGGGAAAUAGAGGAGGGGAGGAGUGGUGAGAGGGAGUGUAUGAGAGGAGAGGAAAGGAGCUGGGGAGAAGAAGGUUGGAGGAAGAGGGAAAGAGACAGGAGGUGGCCCAAGGAGGGGGUGAGGCAGUAGGGGAAAAGUGACAUGGUGGGGGAGGAGUAGGGAGGAGGAGAGGAGGAGAGGAUGUGGAAUAGUAAGUAAUUAUAAGCAUACUUGAAAAAUUUUUUAAUUUUAAAAACAUUCUAAUGUAUAAGUGUGCAGUAAAGCUUUUAAUAUACAAUGCUAUGGUGUAAUUUUAAAACAUACCCCAAAAUAUAUAUAAUUCAUACAAACCCUUAGUGAAUAUUAACUUGCAUGCAAGAAAUAUAAGUUAUUUUGGCAGAAAGAGGUUUGAGGGUGGGGAUAAAUGUAUCUUUCAUUUAGUUAAUUUAUCUGUUGGCAUUGAAUAAAUGGUUGCGACUUUGUUUUAGCAAUUAAAUAUUGUGAUGAAGACCAAGACUAAAAUAUCUGAAGUUCGGAUGCGAAGGCCUGUUUUUGUACAUAGCACCAUAAAUAUCCCAAAUUGAUCAAUCAUCCCCUUCCAUAAAUGAACGUGAAACAAGUUUCUAAAUCGUUUUCAUGUACAGUGCUGGCUCUUAAUUUGCUUUACUAAUGAGCCCAUUAGAAAUACUUCAAGGCCAGUCAUAAUCUAAUCUAAAUUAGAUGAAUUGACAAUUCUUAAACUAAUUGUUUGGUAUACCUUUUCGGUCGGUGGAAGCCCUAACCGUCCUACGCUUAAAAUAAAGGGACACAAUAUAUUUGAAGUGAUAAUUUAUGUCGUAGAAUAUAUUUAAUUUUGGCCAAACUUUUCUGAAUUGAAAAUUUUAUCUUAAAACAUGAGACUCUUGAUCACACAAAGAAAGAAAAGUAACCUCAAAUUAUGGCAUAAAAAAAAAAAAGAGUUCACAUCACACUAAACUAUAGCUGCUUCCAUAUUGGAGAAGUAGAAUAAUUUUCUAUGUUCAUGUAGUCCUAUGGCUGAUAUUGAAUUAAUUGAUUUCUUGCUGAGGUUUACAAGUUCAGAUAAGUUUAUCUCUAGCAAUAAUUUGCUGAUUCAAACUGAAAAUAUUGGAUUAAUUUGCUAUACAUUAAUAAUAUAUACAUUUUCCUCGUUUGAUGCAUGACAUGUAAUUUAAAUUUGAAUUUGAAACAUAAAUUUUGUAUGUGUAUCAUACAUCCAACUGUGAUAAUGUAUACACUGUCAGUGUAUAUAAGAUUAAUUCAAAAAGUUAUAUAUGUCAAAACAAAUUGUAUGGUUCGAAGAUGUACAUUUGAACAAGAAUAAUAUUAAGCUUGACACAAUCAUUCGAAUUUUUAAGCUAACAGUCCGUUGACCACAUAAGAUAUCAAUUUUGAUGGUGAAAUCGAGUCAUACAUGUCCUUAAGCUUUGGGCAUGCUGAGCACCCAUCAAAAAAAAAAAAUUAGGAUCAAAGGAAAUAGAAUAUCAAAACAGAAAAUAGACAUAAAAGAAACAUGGAGUUUAAGUAUACAAUCCAUUAUCAAACAUGAGAUUCAUGGAAUUAACUUUCACUGACAUAAUUUCAGUAUGAAGCCAUUUUCAUGCAGAUUAUCUAAACUUUAAGUCCACAUCCGAAAUUAAAUGGUUUGGACUUUUCAGCAGGAUUUCCUCUUUUUUUUUUCUGUGGAAAGUUCCAUGGUCACUAUUAACUUAUAUUACAGUAUUAAAUUAGUGGAUUUUCUGUUGAGCUCAAUUUCUGACCAUCACCUUCUAGAGAAAAGGAGGGUUUAUGAGAAAGACGGGGCAACUGUAAUAAAAACUUCAAAAAAAAAAAGAAGAAAUUAUGCGGAUUUGAUAUGGUCAGCAUAAAAAAUUAUAAACUAAACCUUCUUCACCAUAGCUGAUUAGAUCCAAAUUCAGCUGUCAAUAUAGGCUAGCGCCUGCGAUAUUUGCUGAUAAAUUUAAAGGUUAAUUCCACUUUGCACCUUUAAAUUAUACAUAAAUUCUAAUUUUAGUGCCUAAACUAUAAAAUGGACAUUUUAAUUCUUAAAAUUUUAAAUUUGUCUCAGUUAAGCAAAAUCAUUAAUAGAAACUGAGACAAAUUUAUAUUUAAGUAGGAUAACUUUUAUACUUUAAUAACUGAAAUAUAAGAUUUCAUACUUUUAAAAAUUGAAGCAGGAUAGCUUUUAUAAUUUAAGGACUAAAGUCGGAUGGUCUUAAAAUGGGACACAUUUUAUAUUUUCAGAGACUAAAAUAUCUCAUUUUAAGUUUAGGGACCAAAGUGCAAAUUCAAGUAUAAUAGAAGGGUGAAAAGUGAAAUAAAUCCUAAACUUAUUUAUUUAGUGAACUUUUUGUCAUAUAUUUGCAAUGGCACGUGGAUUUGACAUACAUCUUUGGCAUGAUGAAGUAAUCCCAUCCAUAAUUAUUGUCUUAAAUAAAUGAAAUCAACUUUGAAGUAACAAAAACGCACGCAAUCAGUGCCACAUAGUUGGCGACACGUGUGAACUAAGUACACUUUUAUCUGAAUCAUCAUGCUUCAAUGGGGGGAAAAAUAGAGGACCAUUGCAUGCCCCAAGUCAAGAAGUUGCAAGGUAAACGUUGUUGACCUAAUGAAGAUUAGACAGCUCAAUUUGACUUUUAAUUAUAAAAAACCAAGCCAGCUUUUAUGACAAUAGUGAAAUAUCAUCUUCUCCUUUAAUGACAGCUGAAUCACAGAAAGAAACUAAGAAAGUACUUCAACGAAAAGUUUCAAGUAUCCUUCGCUAAAUUUUUUUCCUUUAGUGGUCCAGUUUAGUUCGAUUUGGAUUCCUAAAAGCCAAUAUUAAGAAUCACAACCGGUAAAAACCUAAUAACUCUAUUGAAAAAUGGAAAGAAAAAAAAUUAUUAACUACCAAUUUCAUGUUAAAGAUUAAAAAUUUGAGGUUCUAAUGUCCAUUGUCCAAGUUGACAAACGAGUAGAAGAUUGCAUGUAUGUGUAGAGGAAGGGAUGGGGCAGGUGGCUCAAGGAGAGAAUGUAAGUGAGAGAUUUCAAAUUCAAACCUUUUCACUUAUGGUAUAAAAAAAAAAAAAGAUUGUAUGUAUUGAAAGGUUUACCAUGCCUUUCCUUCUAAUUAAUUGCACAGUAUUAAGCACCAUUCACCAGCCUUUUCCUCAAUUGCUUUUUUUUUUUUUCUGAGUAAUUGAACUUCCAUUUUUCUCAAGUAAGCUUCACAAAUUCCAUAACAUGUCAAUUUAGCUCUCUAGAGAUUAUAUAUAUAGUGAAAAGGGUAGAGUAAAAGAUUGGAAUUGGUUUUUAGGGACGUUUCAUAGACGGUUUGCGGUAGCUAGUAUGCUGGAAAUUUGUUUAAAGUACUUGAUUCAUUUUAAAUCAAUGACAGUUAUGUUUAAUCGAUAAAUACAAACAUGAUGGCUCCUAAAUUUCAAGUGGUGGACCACCUUUUAGCCAUAUAAAACUUACGUUAAUUUUUCAAAUGAAAAAAGUAAAAGCUUAAUGACUACGAUGCAUCCAAAGAAAGAUUUAUAGGGUCCUUACCACUAAUUCAUUAAUCUGUUUAAAACGAAUAUUCUAUCUUCUAUGCUUUCUAAUUACCCAUUUUUUGCUUCCCACAUAUCCUUAGCCUUCUCUUUGCUUUAUAAAAGACAUUCAAAAAAGUUAAAAUAAAAAAGGAAAAAAAAAGAGAUAAAAAAUUGUGACUUUAUUUUAGUGAUAAAAUAUCAGAUAUUGAUCAUUUUUCACCUUCAAUAAGUGAAUGUGGAACAACUUUCAAAUAGUUUUCGUAUGCUAUACUGGUUCUUAAUUGCUUUAUUAUAAGUCUGUUAAAAGUUAGAUGAAUUGACGAGCCAAUCAAUUCAUGCAUAUUCCAACUGAGUCCCUUCUCUAAUGUAGAUGAAUUGAUGUUAUCAUGAAUGAGAAAUAUUGGACGUCAAUUCCUAUUAUAAUAAACGUUCUUUUCUCAUUUGAUAUCUUAUAUUGCCGGUCGCAUCCCCAUCCGAGAAAACCUGGGUCACGCAAUCCAUAGUAAUGGAUCGAUAUCGUUAAUUUUUUUAAACAAAUGAAAAGAUGGGAUUUAAGAGAUGGAACACGUAAACGAUACUGUUAAUUUUUAAGUAAUAAAUUAUAAAAGGAUGGAAUUUAAAAUACCAUACUGUUCAUUUUUAAGCAUUGAAAGGAUGGAAUUUAAAAAAAGGACGGAGGAAGGGAAAUUUGAAUUUUGAGAUUUCAACGUGAUUAUGAGAUUUUAAAUUUCAUCACUGGAUCAAAACCUUCUCAAUAUCUAUAUCUAUAUAUAUUGCAGAAGGGGUUUUUAGCAGAGACCCUCUCUGCUAAAAACUGUUUAUACUUUGUUAUUUAUACUUUAAAUCCUUUUUACUCCUUAAUUAAAGACAAAUGCUCAUUCGUAUGCUAUUUUAAUACAAUGUUACAUUUUUAUAAUUAAUAAAUAUUUAGCCCCAUACUAACCCUAUAACCACCCCUACAAAUGAGCUUUGCAAAUUACAAUCACGUUUCAAAAAAAUCACAAAUGUGCAACUAAAUGUAAAGUUGAGGGGGUAAAGUGCAACUAAAUAUAAAGUUAAGGGGUUUACUAUAUUUAAUCCUAAAAAAAAUCCCAAUAACGGAACAAGUAGUGGGUUAUAGAUUUUUGUCUAGAUUUUUGUUUUUAUUUUAAUACAUAAAAAGUAGUGGGUUAUAACCAACUCUAUCACCAAUCAAAUUUAAAAUUUAAAACAUUUCUACUAUCUACUUCAUAAACCAUUUAUACUUUGUUAUUUAUACUUUAAAUCCUUUUUACUCCUUAAUUAAAGACAAAUGCUCAUUCGUAUGCUAUUUUAAUACAAUGUUACAUUUUUAUAAUUAUGAAAUAUUUAUUCCCAAACUAACCCCAUAACCACCCCUACAAAUGAGCUUUGCAAAUUACAAUCACGUUUCAAAAAAAUCAUAAAUGUGCAACUAAAAGCAAAGUGCAACUGAAUGUAAAGUUGAUGGGGGUAAAGUGCAGCUAAAUGUAAAGUUAGGGGGCUUACUCUAUUUAACCCUAAAAAAAUCCCAAGGACGGAACAAGUAGUGGGUUAUAGAUUUUUGUAUUUAUUUUAAUACAUAAAAAGUAGUGGGUUAUAACCAACCCUAUCACCAAUCAAAUUUAAAAUUUAAAACUUUCCCAUAAUCUACUUCAUAAAUCGUUAAAUAUAUUUAUACUUUAAAUCCUUUUUAUACUAUUGUAUUUAUUUAUACUUAAAAUCCUUUUUACUCCUUAAUUAAAGACAAAUGCUCAUUCACAUGCUAUUUUAAUACAAAUUUAAUUCGGAAGCAUACAACAUGAUCAAGAAACAGCAGAACCAAUUAAGACUAGAUUUUGACCCCCAAAAAAAUAUUAUGCCUAGAUGCCACUGGCACGUUGCCGUAACUUGCGAUGCCAAUUAGGACUAUUUAGCGUCCUUUUUUUGCAAGGAAAUAGGGCACUGUAAAGCUUAUUUAGGCAAACUUUACCUCAUCACUGUACAGUGUUACAUCUCAAAACAAAUAUACGGGUGAUGGGUUCGAAUCUUUCUCAAAAUAUGCGUCGACAAUUAACAUGGUUUGCAAAUUGGUUGCUAUCAAUUGGUGAGGGAAAGGUACGAGAAAUUUCACUUACAGAAUUUGGGGAAGCAAAUUAGAUACAGACACCAUCUCAAUUUCUCAUAAAAAUGACAGUGAAUCUUUUACAAAGUUAGUAAAUUCUGUCUAUCCUAAUUUGAGAAAUUCAUAUAAUGAUAGCAGUUAUCUCAAAGAACGUGCUAUUUUGGUUCCAGAAAAUUAUGAUGUUGAUAAAUUAAAUGACAGGUUGAUGGCAAUGCUUCUUGGUCAAUUCCGUGUAUACAUGAGUGCUAAUACUUUUUGUGCCACUGAAGGAGACAUUGUUGAAAACAUGAAUUCUGCUGAAGUUCUGAAUUCAUUGAAUUUUCCUGAACUUCCAAAUCAUCAUUUGGAAUUGAAAAAAGGAGCACCCAUAAUUCUUUUGAGAAAUCUUAAUCAGUCGGAGGGUCUUUGCAAUGGAACUCGACUUAUCAUUACCAGACUGGGAGAUAAAGUUAUCGAAGCAGAAGUUAUGACAGGAUCCAAUGUUGGAGAUUUAGUACUAAUAUCUCGAAUCUCUUUAACACCUCAGAAUAUACGCACUCCUUUCCCAAUUAAAAGGAGGCAAUUUCCAGUGAAAGUAGCAUUUGCAAUGACUAUUAACAAAAGUCAAGGUCAAACAUUGAGCAAUGUUGGUGUUUACCUUCCUGAACGUACUUUUUCUCAUGGUCAACUUUAUGUUGCUCUUUUCCGUGCUACUUCUCCAUUUGGAUUGAAAAUACUCACUAUUAAUAGAGAUAGUGAUCCAUGGAACUACACAAAGAAUAUUGUAUAUCGAGAGGUUUUUGAGAAUCUUUCAUAAAUUAUACACAUCAUUUUAUAAUAAAAAUUUGUCAUGUAUAUUUUAUGUAUUGUAAAAAAAUGACACUUUCAUAUUUAUCUUUCACAUUUACAUUUUAUUUCACUGUCUAUGUCAACUAUAGCUUUUAAAUAAUUAAUCAGUAUGUUAUUUAAUAUUUACAGAUAUUCGAUAUACACAUCUGAUUUCUCUGGACCUUCAAUGAUGUACAUGGAAUGUAAAUGUUAGAUUAUUUAGAUUGAUUGAUAUGACGAUAUCUGGAGUACAUCAGCGUUCCAGGUGCAUCAAAAUGCUUUUUAUUGAUGAUCAUGUAAUUAUUCAAAUCAUAUCUUACUAAUUAUGUUGAUUUUUAAUAUUUACUAAUUUUUGAAAAAUUUAUCAGAAAUUUGUCAUGCAAGGAAUAAUAAGAGGCAGUAGCAUGCUUAGUAUUUUUGGAGAAUACCUCCAUGAAGGUAAGAUAUAUUUAUUUUAGAAUAUACAUGUAAUCCCAGCAUAUACCAAGUACCGGAUUGCACCACAUCAGUACCAGUUGUCAUUUGAAAAUGAUACAAAAAAAGUGAAAAUUUUAGAUGACUGUGCAAUCAUCCCCCGUUUCAAGUUCAAUUUGGUCAAAUUGAAACACAUAGAACAAUACAUGAAUAAUGAUCUGCAAUUGAUAGGUACGACCUUACAAUUAAUAUCAUUUUUAUUAAAUUUCUGCAUUUCAAAUUUUAUUAAUUAAAAUUUUUUAUUUAGUACAGAUGUGAUUGGCUUAGUUAGAUCUGUUGGUCCAUACUAUAAGGCAUCUGCUAAUAACAAAAUUGGUCGUGAGAUGCUAUUGGUUGACAAAAGGUUAGUUAACAAAUCCCGACUUCUUUAAGAUUUUUUAUUUUUAGAGAAUUUAGAUUUGCACAUAACAAAAUUUUGUUAUCACAGUUUGACAGUAGCUCGAUUCAUAUUGUGGGAUAAAUUUUCUAAUGAUGAUGGUGAACGGUUAUAUCAGUCUGCUACAUAAAAUAAUAUUUUACUAGUAUGUGGUAUUUGUGUACGAAAUUUCAGAGGUAAAUCAAAUGUUUUUACUUAUACUCUAUAUAAUUUGAAUAAUUUUUAGCGAAUACUAUGCAGGACCAUCACUUUUUACAAUUGGAGCUAACAAAUUAUAUAUCAAUCACAAUUUAGAUUUUGCUCGAUACUUGCACAGUUGGUGAGUUACAUUAGUAACACUACAUCAAACUUUUAAUGUUGUUUCAUACUCUUACCAACAUAUAUUUCAAAAAAUUAUAGGUUUGAAAAUGAUACAUGUACUCGAAGGUUAGUUACGUGGUUGAGGUCAAGCAAUUUUACAACAUCACAAGUAUUGUUGAUAGCAAAUUCAAAGAGAAUAUGGAUAUCCGAAUAUACAAUUAUGCAUACGGUAAACUUAUUCUAUUUAAUUUAAUUACUGCACAUUUUUUUUAAAUUUAUAAUCAUAACAUAUACCUUCUUUCAUUCUUAUUAGGUUAAAUAUUUUCAAAUACUUACUUACAUUCAGAGCAUUAACAUAGAAAACAUGUUCUAUGAGUUAUGCAAAAAUUGUGGACAACUAUGCGAAGGUCAUUUUUCAAAAAUAGUGUACAUGCAUUGUAAUGACGUGGUCGACACCGUUGUUAGGUAAUUAAUUUCAUGUACCUUUAAUUUCAAUAUAUUUUUCUGUAUUGUAUAUAACAUUUUAUUUAUCAAACAGGUACAAUGUUAACAUACAAAUUAAAGAUUCCAGUGGUAACAUGCAUCUUAAUCUAUAUGACAGACAUGCACAAUUCACAUUUGGUUGUGAUGCUUCUUAUCUUAGAAUUUCUUGAUAUAUAUUUAUUUUUAUAAUGCUAUUUAUAAACUAUGUAAAAAAAAUACACUAAUUUUGAAUUUCGCACGUAUUUAAUUCUCAGGACAAUGGUGAUAGGUUGUUCAACCAAUGAAUCAAUUCAAACAAAGAUCGUGCAUUUUCAUUUGUAGUACGCACUUCACAAAAUUCAACAGAAUUAAUUAAAUCACCAAUUUUGGCAUUCGUACUAAAAGUUGAUUGGUGUGAAGAGUGUUCGCAUCUUCAUGCAAGAUUAUCAAAUCAAAUGCAUAAUAUUUGUAAGUAUUUCAUUUUAACAACAUUUAAUUACAUUUAUUUUUAUUCAUAUAUCAUUCAUUUUCUAAUAUAAAUUUCAAUUAUUUUUUCAGGAUCUAUUUUCCAAAAAACGGAAGUUUUUGAAUGAUAUACAAAUUCCAUCAUAUUUCAAACUAUUGUUAGACAAAUAUUACAUUUUAAUUAUGUUGGUAUAAUCUUUUAACCUUUUUAAAUUCACCCUUUUAUUUUCAUUUUUUCAAUAAUGUCAGCACCAUGCAUAGUACGGGUAUUCACACUAGUGUAUAUGUAUACUAACUAACUAAAAAUUGCUCAACCCUAGCGAAACUAACUAAUCACUAAUAUGUAUUACAAAAGGGGGUUUUUAGCAGAGAACCUCUCAAUGACUUCCAAACUUCUCAUUCUUUUUUCUAGAUUUUUGUAUUUAUUUUAAUACAUAAAAAGUAGUGGGUUAUAACCAAUCCUAUCACUAGUCCAAUUUAAAAUUUAAAACUUUCUCACUAUCUCUUACCUCAUCCUACAACCACUCCUACAAAUCCUCUACUCAUCAUCCCACGUCUCCCCUACAUUUCCUCCCACGUUUCCCACUCCAAUCUAUAUCUAUAUCUAUAUGUAUUGCAGAGGGGUUUUUAGCAGAGAGCUAAGUGACUUAUCAUGUCUCACCAAUUUUGUUUCAGAAUAUACAUGUAAUCCCAGUAGAUGCCAAGUACCGGAUUGCACCACAUCAGUUCCAGUUGUCAUUUGAGAAUGAUACAAAAAUAGUGAAGAUUUUAGAUAAUUGUGCAAUCAUCCCCGGUUUCAAGUUCAAUUUGAGACAUAUAUAAUAGUACAUGGAUAACGAUCUGCAAUUGAUAGGUACGUCCUCACAAUUAAUAUCAUUUUUAUUAUAGUUUUACAAAUCAAUUGCUAUUAAUUAAAAUUUUUUAUUUAUUACAGAUGUAAUUGGUUUAGUUAUAUCUGUUGGUCCAUACUAUCAGAUAUCUACUAAUAACAAAAUUGGUCGGGAGAUAUUAUUGGUUGACAAAAGGUUAGUUAACAAAUCUCGACAUCUUUAAAACUUUUUAUUUUUACAGAAUUUAGAUUUGCACUUAUCAAAAUUUUGUUAACACAGUUUGACAGUAGCUCAAUUCAUAUUGUGGGAUAAAUUUGCUAAUGAUGAUGGUGAACGGUUAUAUCAAUCUGCCACAAAAAAUAAUAUUUUAAUAGCAUGUGGUAUUUGCGUACGAAAUUUCAGAGGUAAAUCAAUUGCUUUUAGUUAUAUUCUAUAUAAUUUGAAUAGCUUUUGAGCGAACAUAACCAUACUAUGCAGGAUCAUCACUGUGUACAAUUGGAACUAGCAAAUUGUAUAUUAAUCACAAUUUAGAUUUUGCUCGAUACCUGCGCAGUUGAUGGGUUCUUCAAUAACACUAUACCAAACUAUUAAUAUUGUUUCAUACUCUUAUUGACAUGUAUUUCAAAAAAAUGCAGGUUUGAAAAUAAUACAUGUGCCCGCAAGUUAGUCACGUGGCUGAGAUCAAGCAAUUUCACAACACCACAAGCACUGUUGAUAGCAAAUUCAAAGAGAAUAUGGAUAUCUGAAUAUACAAUUAUGUCUACGGUAAGCUAACUCAAUUUUAAUUAAUUACUGAACGAAUUUUUUAAAAUUUAUAAUCAUAACCUAUAUCUUCUUUCAUUCUUAUUAGGUUAAAUAUUUUCAAAUACUUGCUUACAUUCAAAACAUUAACAUAGAAAAUAUGUUCUACGAGCUAUGCAAAAAUUGUGGACAAGUAUGUGAAGGUCAUUUUUCAAAAACAGUGUAUAUGCAUUGUAAUGACGUGGUUGACACUGUUAUUAGAUAAUUAAUUUCAUAUAUACUUAAUUUCAAUACAUUUUUCUGUAAUUGUAUAUAAUAUUUUAUUUGUCAAACAGGUACAAUGUUAACAUACAAAUCAGAGAUUCCAGUGGUAACAUGCAUCUUAAUCUACAAGACAGACAUGCACGAUUCGUAUUUGGUUGUAAUAUUUCUUAUCUCAGAGAAUUAAAAAGGAAGGUAGAAUUUCUUAAUAUAUAUUUAUUUUUUAUAGUACUAUUCAUAAAUUAUGUAAAAAAAAAAUACACUAAUUUCGUACGUUCUUAAUUUCGUACAUCUUCCGAAAAAAGACAAUUCUUGAAUGAUAUACACAUUCUAUCAUAUUUCAAGCUAUUGUUAAACAGAUAUUACAUUUUAAUUUUGUUGCUACAAUUUUUUCACCUUUAUUUGCUCACUUUUUUUAUUUUUAUUUUUUUCAAUAAUAUCAGCACCGUGCGUAGCACUGGUGUUCCCACUAGUUUAUGUAGUAUUUUGACUGACUAGAUUUGCAUGACUUGAAAAUUUAUCUUAAAACUUGUGCUGAUCUUAAGAAGAUAGAAGAUCCGCCGUAGGCUACGGGGGUAAGAUUAAAAAAAGAGUCCACACCAUGUUAAACUAUGGGUGCUACUGUAUAGGAGAAAAGUAGAAUGAUAAUUCUUUUAUUUUUCUAAUCCUUUGGCUGACAUUGAAUUAAGUGUUUCCUUACUGAGCUUCACAAGUCAAGAAGAGUUUAUUCUAGAAAGAAUUAGUUCUUUACAACCGAAAAAAUUUACAAAUUUCAAAUAAAUUCUAAUUUUCGAAGUUCCAAAUGUGAGAUUGAAAACUACUUUGUUAAAACCUUGUACUUUUGGCUCACUAUCCGCGGGCCAUGAGAUAUCAAAUCCGAUGGUGAAAUUCAGUUAUAUCUUCCUUGAGCUUAGGGCGUACGCCGAGGGGUCAAACUGUCCCAGUCGAUUGUGAUCUAUGGAGGAAGUAAACGGUUGCAUUGACGAUCAUUCCAAAUAACCUGCAACCUUUUAAAUAGAUUAAAAGUAGUAAUUAAUCAUAAAUAAUUAGUAAAAUGGAUGCAAUUUUAUGAGAAAAAUAUUCAAGUGUGCCAUAAUUUUGUAACGUAAUUUAAGCUUUACUUUUAAAUUUCCUGUGUUAUGGCAAAGUCACAGCCAUCAAUUCAAGAGACAGUUCUUUAAUUUGUCACACUCAUCCCCUGCCGCUCAUUCAAUUAUGAUAAUCUAAGAUGUUUGCCAAUUGCCUUUCACGAAAGCAUUUUUCAUACCAAUAAAGGCAUUUUCUUGCUAGAAAGCAAAGUAACAAGUGAACAUCCAAUAGUAGGCGGAUUUGACUUUUGAGCUCAAUUUUCUUGUUUAUUGGUAAAAUUUUCGAUUUUCUCUAAUAAAAAUUUGCCUACAAAUAAGUCAAUUUUCUAUUGCUUCUGUACAAAAUUAAGUGACAAAAAGUUUUAAACGUUAAAAAAUAUAAAAUGAUUCUCCAUAAUUAAUGAAUGGCAAGCCAAAAAAGUUCAUACCUCAAUAGGGAUAAUUGCAGAAACCUCCCCUGACUUUUAUAGUAAUAACAUUGACCUCCCCUAUCAAUUUUGAAAUAGCACUGACCUCCCCCAUCAAAAGUUGGAGGCAAUUUAAUUGCAAAAUUGGGUCAAUUUACCAAAGUACCCCUAACAUGAUUUAAUUUUACCAAAUGAAUGUGAUGAGUACUUUCAUCAAACCCAACAAAACAUUUGUUAAUAAAAAUUACACUAAAUUAACUAUUUCUGCAUAGUUUAACUAAUUAACUAAUUAACUAAAUAACUAAUAAUCUAAUUAAUUAAUAACUAAUUAUCUAAUUAACUAUUAACUAAUUAUCUAAUUGUUAAUAGUUAUUAACUAAUCAAACUAUUUCUGCAUAAUUAAACUAAUUAACUAUUAACUAAUUAUCCAAUUAACUAUUAACUAAUUAACUAAUUAUCUAAUUAAUUAAUUAACUAAUUAACUAAUUUUUGUUUAUCUAAUUAACUAAUCUCUAUUUAUCUAAUUAACCAAUUAACUAAUUAACUAAAGCUAUUGUCUAUCCGAAACUAAUAAACUAUUUGCAUGUUAAACUAAUUAACUAAUUAGCUGCUUAACUAAUUAACUACCUAAUUAUCUAAUUAAUUAAUUAACUAAUUAACUAAUUUUUGUUUAUCUAAUUAACUAAAGUUGUUGUCUAUCCGAAACUAACAAACUAUUUGCAUGUUAGACUAAUUAACUAAUUAAUUGCUUAACUAAUUAACUAAAGAUAUUGUCUAUCCUAAACUAACAAACUAUUUGCAUGUUAAACUAAUUAACUGCUUAACUAAUUAACUGACUAAUUAAUUAAUUAACUAAUUAACUAAUUUUUGUUUAUCUAAUUAACUUAUUAUCUAAUUAUCUAAUUAACUAAUUAACUAAAGUUGUUGUCUAUCCGAAACUAACAAACUAUUUGCAUGUUAAACUAAUUAACUGCUUAACUAAUUAACUAAAGCUGUUGUCUGUUCGAAACUAACAAACUAUUUGCAUGUUAAACUAAUUAACUAAUUAACUACUUAACUAAUUAACUAACUAAUUAUCUAAUUAAUUAAUUAACUAAUUUCUGUUUAUCUAAUUAACUAAUUAACUAAAGCUGUUGUCUAUCCGAAACUAACAAACUAUUUGCAUGUUAAACUAAUUAACUAAUUAGCUACUUAACUAAUUAACUAACUAAUUAUCUAAUUAAUUAAUUAACUAAUUAACUAAUUUCUAUUUAUAUAAUUAACUAAUUAACUAAAGCUAUUGUUUGUCCGAAACUAACAAACUAUUUGCAUGUUAAACUAAUUAACUAAUUAACUGCUUAACUAAUUAACUAAUUAAUUAACUAACUAAUUAACAAACUAUUUGCAUGUUAAACUAUAUGCAGUACGCAUUACCUAUUUAAAGUAUCGGCUCUUUAUAGGUAUUUUACUUUCAAACAUUUAAUUUAUGAUAAAAAUAUCAAUGUUUGUAAGUAAAAUUCAAAAAGUGUUACAAAAAAUAUCAAUAUUCUUAAUUUCUAACAUUUAAUUUAUGGCCCUAUGCCCCUCCCUUUUUGUAAGAAUAUUAUUGUAACACUUUUUUAAUUUUACUUACAAACAUUGAUGUUUUUAUCAUAAAUUAAAUGUUUGAAAGUAAAAUACUCAUAAAGAGCCAAUACUUUAAAUAGGUAAUGCGUACUGCAUAUAGUUUAACAUGCAAAUAGUUUGUUAAUUAGUUAGUUAAUUAAUUAGUUAAUUAGUUAAGCAGUUAAUUAGUUAAUUAGUUUAACAUGCAAAUAGUUUGUUAGUUUCGGACAAACAAUAGCUUUAGUUAAUUAGUUAAUUAGAUAAAUAGAAAUUAGUUAAUUAGUUAAUUAGUUAAUAAUUAAUUAGUUAAUUAGUUAAUAGUUAAUUAGUUUAACUAUUAACUAAUUAGAUAAGUAGUUAAGCAAUUGUCAAGCAAAUAAUAAUUGUCAAGCAAAAAGAGGGCAAAAUUGAAAGAAAUUUCUUAUCUCACUUCUACAAAAGCUGUCAGGGAGGUUUCUGCAACAAAUUGUUACUGUUCAGGGGAAGUGAAUGCAAUUUCUAAAUCUAGAGGGGAGGUCAGUGCAAAUGUCAGAAAUCUCAGGGGAGGUUUCUGCAAUUAUCCCUACCUCAAUAAGUCAUCUCAGUGGUGCUUUCACUUUUCCAGUUUACACGAGUGAAGGACCUCAAUUACAAUUUACAAGACACCAGUUAGUGCUCAAACUUUUUUGCUUUUUCCAAAUGGCAAGCCACAUACUUUUAUUUAAAAAAAAAACGGCAUUGAGAUUAAGAAGAAGGAGCGUAUGAUUUACUGCACCCGGACGCUCCUGUAGGUCCUACAGCCGACUCCUUUUUGGCCGACCAUGAUAUCAGACUUUUGGAAAAGCACUGCACACGUUAGACCGACCACUUUGGCUAGUCGGUCUAGUCGGUCUAUGAUCAACAAUGUACCACAGAAUACAAACUUUGUCCUCUGCAUAUUCUUUUUUUACUUUUCUUUUUGCUUUCUUUUUUUCUUUUUAUAUGGGUAUAAUAGACGUGGUUCGUGUUUUCUGAAAAUAAAAAAGAAAAAAAAAUUUUCUUCCUUUCUUUUUUAUUUAUUUAGAAAAUUUUUCCGAGUUUAUCUCAUUUAGAGAUGUUAUAAAAUACUAUUUUUUUUAAAAGUUGAAGUUAUAUGAAGGGAAUGUUUAAAUGCCGGAAUCCGAGAAUAAAUGUGAAUGUAUAUAUAUUUACAUGAUAGUCUUACUAUAAAUCGAAUUUUGAUUAUGUUUAGUAAAUUGAUGUAAUCUUUCCAUAUGUGGCUUAGGGUCUGUUUGGUUGGAAGUAAAAUGUUUUCCUUGGGAAAAUAUUUUUCGUGGAAGUAAUUUUCCAUGAAAAUCAUUUCCCUUUCAUCAUUUUCAGGUGUUUGGUUAGCUUAUUGAAAAUAUUUUCUUACUUCAUUUUUCUGGUGUUUGUUUAACUUUUGAAAUAUUUUCACUUUUAUCUCUAUCUUUACUUUCUACACAUUAUAACUACAUACUUCUUCCCAUACAAAAUAAGAAAAUUUAUCUCAUUAUUUAACUUUAAAAAAUCUUGGAGAAAUGUAUAUAUAUAUAAAAAAUAUCUCCUUAAGCAAUAAAUAAAUUGCUGGCCAUUUAGUGUCAAAUAUCAAUCACAUGCAAUGCUUAUUGUAACAUAUAUCUUGCACUCUUACUGCUGAAAGUUUCUCUAGAAAAGAAUGUCCCUAUUAUACAUAAUUAAUUACUAGCAUAGGAUGAGUAGGAUGAGGUUUUUUUUUUUUUUGAAUAUGCUAGGGGGAGGGUUGAGUUGGGUGGUACGAGGGAGGGAGUGUAAGGAAGAGGUCUUGUGUUCGAGUCCUCCUGUUUACACUAAAAAAAAAAAAAGAACAUACUACAAGAUGUUUUCAAUAAGUUUGGAACAUACUAAAAAAAAAGAACAUAGUAUAAGAUGUUUUCAAUAAGUUUGGAACAUACUACAGGCGGGAUGCAUGCAUUUCGGAAAACAACUUCAGUAAGUUUGAAAGGGAAGUUGUUUUCCAUAAGAUGAGUGAAAAUAUUUUACAUAAGAAAAUGUUUUCAGUAACUUUUGUGCAACCAAACACGGGAAAUUAGGAAAAUAUUUUCCUGGAAAACAUUUUCACCCGAAACAAACAGACCCUUAGUGGGGCUGGAUGUUUCACCUGAAUUAAUAAUUCUUGAUUUGAUAAUAACAUUUCACAGCGUUACGUACUAAGUAGUACUUUUAACCCCCAUAGAUAACCUUUUCGCUUUUCUCUUAAUCAAGUGAUUAGCAAUUUGGCAAUAAUCCAUAGAAAGAUUAAAGAUAACAUGAAUCAUUAGUCAUUUCAGUUAAGUCAUUCAUGUUACAUGAACUUCUAAGGUAUAUUCUUGUUGCUCUUUGGUUUCGGUUUAGAAGAAACACAAUCAUACCCUGGAAAUUGAAGCCAAAAAACAAUGAAACAGUAGUAUUUAACCACUUACUAGGUGCAAGCUUUCAUCAAAUGUUUCAGCCAUCAUUACCUUGUAAAGAAUACACACAAUUUUACCCCUAAUUAUUAACUCCUUACUGGGAUAAGAUUGUAACUCACAAAUUAAUGGAGUUGGUUUAGUGUCAAGCCCUCAACUUUAUUUCCAAACUACCAUCCAAUACCUUUCUUCAUAUGUUCAUAUACAUUGGAAUCUUUUUAUAUAUGAGUUUUUUUUAGUGGGCGUCAAUUUCACGUAAUCUAUCAUGUAUAUAUAUAUAUAUAUAUAUAUUAACAAUUAUUACUCUUUCUUAUAUAUAUAUAUAUAUAUAUAUUUUUUUUAAUUAAUCUUACAUUUCUAAAAAUUUAGUACGUGAAAUAUAUUUUAACGAGUGUCCAAUAGACAUUCUUAGAUAGAUCCGCACGCAGGGUAAAGGUACUACUUUUGAAUGCAAUUGCUUCUGUGGGGCUGGGUAAUAAUAUCUAAUUUAAUGAGUGCUUAAGCAAUGAAGAUUGAGACAGUGCCAAAUGUACAGUUUUCUCGUCAUCUAGGACAACAAUUUAAUCCUGAAAAUGCUCAUUAAGAAAGGACCCCAACAUUUUCUUAUAGUCCAGGUCUCCAUCAUAAUCUUAUCUCAAACUUGUUCAAAUUUCAUAGGCCAAGCCAGAGAAAACAACUUGGAAAUACACCUAAAGAAAAGCCACCCACAGUAAACCAGCAGACUUGGAAUCUCUAGUUGUUGGGAUUUCAAGAUGUCUCUAUUCAUGUUCUGCUGACAACAGAAAACCAAAAGGGAACCCAUUUUCUUUUCUUCCGGAGACAGAAAUCUCCAUCUCAAGGGGAAGAAAAAAAUUCCCUUGAAAUCUAUCAAAACUCAUGUUUCUGCUUUGAGAUUUCCUCUAAAGAUGGUGCAAAGAAAGGUGAGCAACAAGCUUGGUAUCCAUGCUGAUCAGGAUAAAUCCAACAAGCUGUUGGUGAACCUCAAACCAUCAACUCUGCAGCAUCAGGAUGCCAGAAACAAAGGAGCUGAUUUGAAGAAGAAAAUGAAGAAAUCAAGACCAAUCAGGCGUUCUGAUCUUGAACGCCUUGGUUCGCCAAAUAUGAGAAGGCAAGUACCUCAGCCUGGAAAGCCACCACCACCAAAACCACCACCUCCAGUAUUUCCAAACACCUCUGAAUCCCCACAGAAGAAGUCCCCGGUCAAAACAUCAGAAACAACACCAAACUAUAUGAAGGCAACUACCAGUUCUGAUGCAAGGAAAGAACGUUCUCAGGUGAGUUCCAGGAACCUUCAAACUCUCUUUGGUAGUCAAAGCUCAGGCAGGAAGGAUUCAAAUAGCUCAAAAAUGAGCUCAGGUUCUGUUCACAAGGCAGCAAGAGUUUUAGGUAGGACAUCCAGUUCGAAACUAGUUAGGACACUAACAAAAACAACUAGUUUUAAACCAGCAAGAGCUUCAGCCAAAAAAUGCUCCCCUCUUGUCCUAAGUGAAAAUCUAAAUGUUCAGAGAGCAACCUGUUCUUCAACUUUGAAGGACUCAAAAUUUCCAGCUUACCUUGCACUUAGUUCCGGAGCAACAGAAGCAGAAGGAACCUCUGUCAUGAAAGUCUGCCCCUUUACUUACUGUUCUUUGAAUGGUCAUCAUCAUCCUCCUUUACCACCAUUAAAAAGCUUCUUGUCUGCAAGAAGGCGCCUGCUGAAGACUCAAAGAAGUUUCAAACUGGGAUGUCUCUCCCCACGACGAUCAAAGCCGGUUAGCAGCAGUACGGAAGAAAUUCAGGUUGAGCAGAACCAUGAGAAAUCUUCAUCUCAAGAACCAUGGGACAGUUCAAUGAGUAGCCCAGUCAUAGAAGAAAAGCAAACUGAUUUCUUCGUUCAGAUUUACGGUAAAGGAAGGGAAACUAAAGUUGAUAUCACUGAUUCUUCUCUCAACCAUAUCAGGCCUGCAGUUGAGGGAAGACCAAGUGGUGGUGAAACACCAACACAAGUUGACAACAGACAAGUUCUUGCAAUACCAUCAGAUGAACCCCCUUUCUCUGAGAUGGAUUCUCAUGAUGAUAGCAGCAAAAUCAUUGAUGCUGCUUCAUCAGUCAUUGAAGUGGCUGAUUAUUGUGAGGCAGAGAGUUACUCAACUAUGGAUCUUGAUUAUGAACCUGACAGCUCACUGCAAAGCAUCCAAGAUUCUGAUUUAGGAGGAGAUUCACCUGAGUUUGGAAGCUGUAUAAUUCCUGAAGUAUCCAUUUUCAAAUCAGCUAUUACAAAUAGGUGCUUUGGGGAAAUUCAGGCAGGUACGAUCCUGAAACAAUCAUCUGAUGAAGAAUCCAUUGAUAAAGAAAGUGUGAGCUCUAAAGCAAGUUCAUUUUCAGAUUAUUGGGCAGAGGAUUAUGUUGAAGGGCUUGAUGAUGGAAGUCAUGAUGAAUUAGGUCUUCAGUUUAAAGAUGAAUCUUUCGAGCCUAUCAAGACACAGGAUCUCAUUGAUUAUCUCAAGGAUGGAAUUGUGCAGAAUGAUGUUGAAGCCGAACAGGUACAGGGCCCAGAUUCGCAAGAUUUUCAUGAUAUGAUUGAAGAAAGUUGUGAAGAUGGGAUGGAAGAGAAUGAGCAAGGUGAUCCUUUUAAAGCACCUACCAAGAUUGAAAUUUGCAUUUCUCUGCAUAGUUCAGCUGAGGCCACCGGGGACAUGUCAGCAAAGGAUUGCAAGGACAAUAACCUGGAGGACAUUCGAAUUGGUGGAAAAUCAGAUCGAACUUCGGCAAAUAUGGAACUAACAAAAGGAGCUCCAGAUCAAUCAGCUCAUGACAACUCCAUAAGCAGUGGUUGCGAAAAUCUAAAUUGCUUGGAAGAAAAUGAAGCUGGGAACUUCAAAACGAUAGCAUCUGCUGAUUUAGGAGGAGAAAAAGCAAACCCCACACCCAAGAAUGCAUGUGGCGGUACACAAAAUGACUGUAAGGGAAGCCUUUCAUGUCAAGAAUUGGCUGAAACAUGCAAAAGGAGGAGCUGGAGAACUGGAUGCAAAAGAUCUACUGAAGAGUACCAGGAAUUGAAAGAAUUCAAUCCAAAAGCACCAAAUUUUCUGCCACUGGAGCCUGACCCGGAAGCAGAGAAGGUUGAUCUCAAGCAUCAAACAAUCGAUGAAAGGAGAAAUGCAGACGAAUGGAUGCUGGAUUGUGCUAUUCAAAAGGCAGUCAACAAACUUGGUCCAGCGCGCAAGAAGAAGGUUGCAUUGCUUGUUGAAGCUUUUGAAACAGUUAUGCCAGUAUCCAGAUAUGAUACCCAACCGAGUCACAGCUCAUUCCCAUUCAGUCAUGCAAGGCCAAUUCAAGCUUGCAGUUGAUGCCACUCUGGUGACGAUUAAAACUUUUUCUCUUUGAUAACUUAUUCAUCUCUGAAAUUUACUCAUAAAAGAUCCAUUCACAGUUCAAAUUCUGCUAACGUAUGACAAUUUCUCUUAUUCUCGUUGCAGUGAACAGAGAAGAAACAUCUGCAAUUAUACGUACUCGUGGGAGAUGACAAACUGAAGAAGGUUUACACCAAGAAGCUAGUAGUUGAUUGAUCCAGCUUUACCAGAGAAGCAGCAGCUUCAUAUCUUGAAUUGUUGGGUCAGAAUAUUAAUGAUAUAUCACCGUUUCUUGUAAGAUAUUCUGUCAAUCUUCAAGUUGAGACCAUUUGUUUGAAGUUCGUGUGGUACUUUUAUUGUGUUAAACAGCCUUAUCAGUGUUUUUGUUGUUGGUGAAGUUAAUUUCACCAUUUUAUUUAUGUGCAAGAGUAGUUUAUGCGUGUUCCAAAAAUUCAACAACUGAAUCUUAUGGCAAUUCACAAUUUCUACUUCACAUAACAAUUGCUACAUCGCUAGACUACCUUGCCUCUUGUUCCUGUGAAAUAAACAUGAACAGAAAUGAUCAAUUUCUACUUCAGGCCAAUAUAUAACAGAAAUUAUCAACUUUACCCCACGGUCUUAUUUAUUUAUCAUGACUUCUAGUGACCCCAAGAAUACUCUAAAACUCAUCCACUUUGCCUUUUCUAAUUUAUUUAUCAUUUAUAUCUAUUUCAACAAGCAUAAGUACGAUUAAACUCAUCCCGAGAAUGAACUGACCCUUUUCAUUUUGUUUCGAUUUUUUCAGCAACCAAAUAAAUUAUUCAAGAAAAAAUAAACAAACAUGUAAUAAAUUGGCAACGUCUAGUGAAAUGUGAUAAGUUCAAUGCUCGGAUAUGUAAAUGAGUCAGAAGGUUGAAUCUUACUAGUUCUAGGCUACAUAAAAAGUUUAAGUAUUUAAAAAUGAUUCUUUCUAAUAAAAUGAAAAUUUCAAAAAGCUACGAAACAUCAUAUACUCACCAAAAAACAUUUGAUAUAUAAAUAACUAUGCGUGCGUUAGACUAUGACUUGUUUGACAAGCAAGUUUUUGGCAAAGUUUGCCUGUUACACAUUUGUUUUUAAUAAUUUUAACUAUAAUAAUCUCAAAAAACUUCUAAAAAAUUUUAAACUAUACACUUCAAAAUAUCCAAAAAUUUAUACACUUCAAAAAAGUUUUCUACAACUUCUACAGUAAGUUACAGUAAAGUUUUAAAUAAACAUCUAAAAAACUCACUUGUCAAACGGGACUUAUGUGACCAACAAAAAAAAAAAAACACUUAAUUUUACACAUUAAUUAAAUGACACAAUUCUUGAUUAAACAUUAAUACCAUACAAAAUAUUUUGCACACUAAUUUUCAAUUUACCUUGUUUGGCUACUGAGCACUCCAAAACUAAUGGAAAGUACAUUCGAAAUUUUCUUUUCUUUUUUUUUUUUUUUGGCCUUAUGCAUUUAGCUGAAAAGAACGAAGAGAAAUGCUAUAUAAGUUGAACGGCAAAAAUUUUUACAUCUACAAACAUCUUUUUAGUCAAGAAGCAGAACGAAAGGAGUAAAAACAGUAAUAGAAAUAAAAUAAAAAAUAAUAACGUCAGGGAUACCCUCUCAAGGAGGGCAUUUUUGUCAAAGGAAAAAUCCACAUCAUGUAUUUGUAUAUUUUUGUACAGUGGAAUUUUUCAAAGGAGAUAAGUGCCCAUUAAUUUGGUUCAGAAGGGGUAAAGUACAAUUCAGGCAAAAGCUUGAGGAGUAAAGUGUAAUUAACCCUAAAAAUAUGUUUUUCAUUUAUCUCCAAAAACAAAAUUUACUAUACAACAAUACUAACCAUAAAAGCUCCGGUUACAAAAGUGGUAUUGUCAAAGUUCACAGACUUUCAAGGUUGCCAAGAAGAACACGAUUCAACUAUUGAGAUCAAGCAGAGUCAAUCAAGCUAUGUAUGUUGC
This 66622-nucleotide long non-coding RNA is filed under the name Coffea arabica (coffee). RNAcentral's name for it is "long non-coding RNA (CARA_LNC001188)". Lineage: Eukaryota; Viridiplantae; Streptophyta; Magnoliopsida; Gentianales; Rubiaceae. The record is from RNAcentral.